GGGGAAAGAAAGUUNNNNNNNNNNNNNNNNNNNNUAUAUAUAUAUAUAUAUAUAUAUAUAUAUAUAUAUAUAUAUAUAUAUAAGGCCUUUCAAAGAUAUUAGGACCUCUAGUAGUCACAACGAGUGAUUAACUUCCUUUCAUAAUUUUUUUUUUUUUCAUAUUCCAACAGUAGGAUUACAAAUUCAUUCAAGUCAAGAAUCCUACUUAGAGAUCUACUAGUUAAGUGGAUCUUAAUAAAACAUGCAUGACAAACCACUGCAUUAUAAAAUAUAAGACCCUGGAAAAGAUAAAUUAACUCCUAUUCAUCCAUUAAAAAUAUAUAUAUAUACUGAAAACAGGGAAUCAAAUGCUAAUCUCAAGUUUAAGGAAAUCCAGUUAAAUGCAUAAGAUGAUAAAAAGUUAUAACAACUAAAAUCCAGAAUAGACACUCACAAAAAAUCACUGAAUGUACUUUAAAUUUCACAUAUAAACCAAUCUGCAAAUGUAAUAAUUCCAGGUUAGGACGAAAAAUUUAUUUUUCCCUAAAGAUAUUGGGACUAGAAUUCCUUUAUCCAAAACAAUGUAAGAGUCCCCUGGUGGGUGGAAAAUCUAAGAGGCAAGAAAUGUCGAUAUUUUGAUUACCUGUAAAACAAUAUAAGAGUCUCCCGAAUAGAAUUUUCCAUAAUCAGCUUUCGACAAAGGAACUGGCUGAAAGUUCUCAAUCCGCCAGAUCUCUGUCCCCCUAUGUCAUGUUAAGAAAUGGUAUAGGAUGUUCAACAGCAUGCCACUUUAAAUGCUACCAUUAGAACAGUAGCCAGAAUCUUUUCAUAGAAAAAAAUUAGCAACUAGAGGAAAGAAAGGUAAAGGCAUCGAAUAGAAUUUAGUAUGAGGAUACACUUUUUGGCCAACUCCCUGAAAUGCUGGAUCAAGAUUUUUUGUAGAGCUAGCCAUCAUGCAGUAACUUUCACUAACCCUUCUCAGAAAACCAGCUGUCUUCACAGACUCAAUAAGCUAUGCUAAUAGCAUCAAUAAUUUACUAAACUACCUGUCACUGCCAGCAACGAGACAUUAAUAAUAUAAAAUUGAAGCAUGUAGCCUAGUACACUAUAUUCUGGGAUUACCAGCCUGAAGCAUUCUAUAUCUGGCAGAGCUUGUAAUCCUUCAAUAAAAAAUGGUCCAGAAUCAUGCAUGGUUUUAGCUCAAAAGAUAAAAAGAUGAUAGCGAAAAGUAAACAAAUUAGCAGAUGUUAGUAAAUCUUACGCUUUCACGAGAGAGAGAGAGAGAGAGAAGGUGAAAGAUGUAAGCGUCACCGAGCAAGGACACCUAAAAUAAUACCAUAUAUGCAAAAUGACCAAAAUCAAAAUUACUACUUAGCAGCCAUAUUAUUUCUGAGAGAUUGAAACUUAUUAAAAUAAGCUAAACUAAAACUAAUAUAGAUGUAACAGUGUCAAUCCAUAUUGCAUGUUGCCAAAUGAAGAUACUACAUCAUAUAAGUAUGGUUAAGCACUGAUUCAGAUCUUCCAUAUGAACGUAUAUGAUGCAAAGAUACACUAUAAUGCAGGCUGAUAUGGGUGGGGAACAUGAGAGUCAAACCUUCUUAGAUUACAUACAACUCAAGCCGGUCCAGUACUAGUAGUUUUUCCCCACUUCAAAUCCUUCAAGACUUAAACAAUUUCUAAGAUUUUCUUUUCUCAAGAAAAAAUGUCUGGUCAUGCUAUAUUAGGUUGUGUCUUGACCUUUUUCAUUGGUUAGUGCACAUAUUCAGAAACUACUGUAUCCAUGAUCUGCAUGAAAUUUUAGCAUGGUUGAUGAUCCUCAUAUUAUGGUAUUGUUUAUGCUUCUAAGUUUGCUUGGAUGGGUUAACUUUCAUCUCUAAGUGUUGAAAAUGUGCACACCACUACUAAAAGCAAUGAAAACAGACUACAUAAAAAGGGGGAAAUGUUUUCUGUAGCUCAUAAUUUUCAUUCUAAUUAUGUAUCUACUGAAAAGAUUGUGCAAGUUAAGCUGUAAUUUCAAUAACACACCAGGCUCUGACCAGCUAGGCAUAAUUCUUUGUUCUUCAGCUAAUGAGUACUAAAGAGAAAUUACAUUAAAUUGGUCAAUGUUAUACAACAUAUGAACUCAUGGUGGAAUAUAAAUUUGGGCAGCACUCAAUCUGAAUGCCUGUUUAAGGGGUAAUGAUGGAUGAAAAGGACACUCACAAACAGUUCUGGUCCAAAUGACUCCUUUAAAAGAACAGGUUCCACAUAGAAGAAAGACAAAACUACUAACAAAAAUGAAAUUUUCCAAAAUAUUGCAGCAUGUGCAUGGAGUGAUAAAUGAUACUAGCUAGAUAUUGGCACAAGGAGUCACAUAUUCUGAACAAUUAAAAUAAUAGGAUAUGUUAACACAGUUACAUAAAUCUUGGAUAUGUUAUACGAGUAAUGGAAUAUAUAUAUAGAUACAGAUAUCCAUACAUAUAUAUAUGUGUGUGCACAUGCGUGUGUGUGUACAUAUGUGUGUAUAUAUAUGUAUGUAUGUAUGUGUGUAUAAAUAUGUAUAUAUAUCUAUGUAUACAUAUGUGUGUACACACACACACACAUAUAUAUAUAUAUAUAGAGAGAGAGAGAGAUUUGGCUACAUUCGAGUGGAUCUCCACUCAAAUCUGGCCAGAUCUACAUUAGACAAAGGGAGUCCCGCAUCAAUGAUACGUGCUGUUGAAUGUGAAACUCUAUAUCUAAACUGCUUAUACAGGAAAAAUCAUGUGAUUUGCAGACCCCUAGCCUAUACAUUGAAUGAUCAAUUCAAAAACACAUCUAAGUUAAUUUUGUUUAGGUUAUCCAAUAUUCUGACCACUUGAUGCAUAUGAUGGAAGUCUCCAAAUCACAUGGUUUUUGGUAUGUAAAUAAUCUAGAGACAGUAGAUCACAUCCAAUGGCUCGAGACAUCAAUGUGGGAACCCUAUUAUCCAAUAUAGAUCUGACUGGUCUGAGUGGAGAUCUACUCAAGUGUAGCCAAAUCUAGCUCACAUUAUACCACCUAUACUUUAGUAAUCUUGCAGGCUACUCAGUUUAUGAUGCAAUCUAGACCAGGAGUUACCCUGAAUUUCUAAAUAGCAAGUUGCUGUUCUUCCAUUAUCCCAAAAUUGAACAACAACGAUGUCAUUGAUCUGAUGUUGUAGCUCAGGUUUAUUGUAUUAGUCUUCGAAAUGAGUUAGAAUCACAGACCUUAACACACUGCAUUUUCAUCUAUAACUUAAUCAGCUGCAAGGAAAAGGAUAACAUAUUCUAAUGUAAAAGGAGUUCUUUAAACUAGUUAAAAGGAUGCAACUUCAUGAAUUAAAUGAUGUAACAGGAGCAAGGAAUUGUCCAGAAUUUGGCAUGCAAUACAAGAUGACAUGGUCAAUACAUAUGUAGAAUGCCAGAAAUAGCUUACCAGACUGCCCUAAAGAUUAUACAGGAAAUUAACAGAAACAUUGUGCACCAGGCUUUCACGGUAACUGUUGCACAAGUCUCAACUACCUAGAUAGGGAUCCUGAACAAUUUACAGUUUCAAAAAAAUUGAAAUAUGCAUAUCAAAUACUCUCAACCUAAUGGAACUGGUCAUGUUAAACACGAUCCCAAAGAUGGGGCCUUCUAAAACUGGGGGUUCUCGCAUACCACCCAUGAUAAAAGAAUGAUGGACAUAAUUUAAUGCCAUGAUGAUAUUUUUGCAACUUCUUGAGGCUCACAAGUAGCAAGCUACCACACAGAGUGAAUAAUAUCUUCAACACGAAGUAUAUGCAUUGAUGUCAAAAUCUGACUUGAAAAGUGAAAGUACUGGAGAGAAUGGGAAAGCAUAGCAUCCUCUUAUGUCUAUAUAAUCUAUAGAUAGCAUUUAAGAUUUUCAUAAUACAAUUCUUCUACGUUAUCUUCAAAAGUUGUAGGAAAACAUAACAACGAAAUGCAAGUUAAUUCUCUCUGAGGAUCGCUCCUUAAAUUUUCUAAUCCUCAACGUAUCAGAAAUUCAUAUCUCGACCAUCUUCUUGCAUGUAUCAAAGAUAAAGCAUGGAAGUUCGUUUCAAAAGCCAUCGAGAAGCGAACUUAAUCGCAUAUACCCAUUCUCCACGCCCUUAAAGAAUCAGAUAAAAGAAUCACGUAUGUAAAGUGUCACCUUUUGCCAAAACCAAAUCAAAUUUCCACCAAUAACUUGCAUGCUAUGCAGCAUAAUUCAGUCAGGAUCAUAUCACAAAACCAAAAAUCUACACAAAACUCCAGAAUCCCACAGCAGAUCGAAACAGCAAAGAUGGUUCAAAAAGAAAAAACUAAUAAUAAAACAUUCAAUUCUACACCUGAUCCCCAUAAAAUUAAAUCAAACAAACAAUUCCAUGAAACGAAAGCCAAAUCGAGGAAUUUAACGCCCAGAUCAGAAUAAACACAUGCAACAACAUCUGGCAUCCGAGACAGAGUGAGUGAGUGAGAGAGCAGAAUCUGAUCCAAUAUCGGGGGGCACGAGAAUCGAUCCAUGAGAAUCGAAAAAGGAAAAGGCAAUGGAAUCCAUGGAGCAUUCAUCAGAGAGGAUCGGUACCUCAGAAGAAGAUCCGAGGACGACGUCGGAGAAGGAUGGGGGAGAAAAGGUGGUGGAAAAUGGGAACAAAGGAAUAGAGGCAACGAGGCCUCGAUAGGUGACGAAAGGGGCGAUACUUAAAUGACGAUUGCUUUCUCUCUCUUUGUUUGGCACAAAAAUCGCAUGCGGGCUUCCUAUUUUACCGCAUUCCCUGUCAUGCGAAGCGCAAAAAUUGAAGAAUUUCUCGCGCAAACGCAAUUAUUAGUCCACUGAUCCAAAAUAAUAAUAAUAAUAAUUUAUAAUUUAUAUUUUUAAAAUAUAUAUUUUAUAGAUAUAUAUUAUAUAUCGAUAUAUAUUAUAUAAAUAAUAUAGAUCAAAUAAAUUAAUCACUAAAUAAAUUAAUAUAUAUCAAAAAAUAAAUUAAUAUAUAAUUUCAGAAUAUAUGAAAUUAAUUAAUAUAAUUAAAUAAUAUAUAAUUAUCAAAUUGAUGAUCUAGCAAUCCAAUACAUAUUUUUAAAUAAAUUAAUAUAUAAUUUUAAAAAAAUCAUAUUCACUGAUACAUAUUACAUGGGUAAAAAGUACACAUUCAUCAACUUUUCGAAGGAUAUUGUAAGUUUCUUAGAUAUAUACAUCUAGUAACAAUCUAAUAUACAUCUUCAAAUAAAAAUUAUAUUCUAAAAGUUAUGUAUCAGAUCAUCUGCAAAUAUGUAUUGAAUUAUUAUUGGAUAUGUAUCAAAAAAAUUUAUAGUAUAUUUUACAAAAUCGAUAAGCUAUAUAUUAUCUGGCCAAGCAAUGCGUACUAAUAAAUAUGAUGUUUCAAAAAUUAUAUAUUAAUUUACUUAAAAAUAUAUAUUGAAUUGUUAUAUUAAUAAUUUUUUGAAUAUGUAUUAUCUAUCAUAUAUUGUAUAUCAGUAAACUUUAUGUUUUAAAAAAUUGUAUGUUAAUUUAUCUAUAAAUAUGUAUUGAUUUGUUAUUUGAUGCUUACCUUACUCAGUGUAUAUCAUUUGAUUACAUAUAUUUUAUAAAAAUAAAAAAAAAUUAAUUAUAAUAUUGAUGAUUUCAUUAAUAAGAUUGGAACUCUAAGAUAGUUACAUGAGAAAAUAUGAUAAAAUAGAAAAUCGGCCUAUAUUCCUAUCUCCAAUGCCUGUCCAAUGUGAUUUUUAUUCCAUCCUUAGCCUUACCUUUUUUAAAGCCUUCCCAUAAUUUGAUUUUUUUUUUUUUGCAAAUUUUGGUUACAUUGAAUGUGAUUCGGUUUUUUUUUUCAGAAAGAAAAAAAAAUCAGAAAUGGAUAGAGAGAGAAAGAGAGGGAACCGAACCGGAGUCGAGAAGGGGGAAAGAUCUGGUCCGCGUCGGAUUGGAUUAAAUUGGAAGGACGUACACCGGGUGGGAUACCUUCCGUUUUCCAUCAAAAAAAAAUGGAAGGACGUAAUUUGGUCGUGGCCUACAAUAACAAUGGCGUCACGAAUCAGCCUUCGUUUUUUUACAUGUUCAACAAGAAAGCUUUUUUACACGUUGAUUCUGUGCGGUGUACAUGCAUUAUAUGAACGGUUGUGAUUCCAUCACAGACCCACUAACAGAAUAUGAAAAUAUGAAAAUAUUUUUGUUUUUUAUACUGUAUAUAUAUAUAUCUUUCUUUUUUUUUGGCUCAACAUGUGAAAAUUUUAUGUAUGUUUGCAACUGUUUAGGCAGAAUGGUGAAAUCAGCCUUCAAAACCUUACCAUCAUAUGUAGCAAGACCAUAACAAACAUUUAAACUGUUUUUCGGUUGGAACCAUCAUUAUGUAACAAGAAUAAUAGGUAUACUAUUUAAUAGUUAUACUGUUUGUCAACUAAAAUAAUGUUUUAAAUAUGGAUAUUUGUCCCACCUAAAAACUAUUUAUUUAAUACUUACUAAAAUAUUUUCUAUUAGUGGUGAGUUGCUCAACAUUAUUUUUUUACAUGGAAUAUUUUUUCUUUGAAAAGGAAUUUACACAGAAUGUUGAUCAUCAAAUUUACACACAAUGUUUUUCCCUGGUCCAUGAUCUUCUUAAACAAAACAAAGUGGAAUUUAGUUCGUGGCAAAAAGAAGAAAAUCUUAUAUAUAAAAUAAAUUUUGAGGCAUAUAAAAGAGAAAAAAUUAUUAUAUGUACUGUAUGUUGGCGCAUGCUAUUAAAAUUUUAGAGAAAAAAUUUAAAAUUUUUUUUUCCCUCCAAAGAUUUCUAAAGUUUUGAUUACUUAAUUUAGUUCCAUAUCGAAAAAAGAUAAUUUCUUUUUGAUACUUUUAUAUUUUUUUUUUCUUGCCCACUUUUGCUUGGAUCAAAAAGAGAAGUAGAUUUUAAUUUUUAAUUCUUUUCUCAUCUCAUCAUACUUUUUAUCAACGAUCAUGCUUUAAAAGAGGAUAUCUCGAAAGAUGGCAAUGGGUAGGAUUUGGUUAGGAUAUUGUACUACCCAUCUUCAAAUCCAAAUUUAAUACUCUAUACCCAAACUCUAUCCGAUAUCCGAUCGGAUAAGAAAAGAGAUAUCUAUCUCUAUAUCCAAUGGAUUCGGAGACACCUAUGGGUAAUCUAUUUCCCCAUAUCCGCCCCAUACCCAUCCCAUAUCCAAAAAAAUAAACAACCAAAAUAAUUUUAUGCAUAUUAUCAACCAAAACAGAAUUAUCAAUUCAACGUAGACCAUAAUUUAUAAGUCUAGAUUUAUAGAAAUCAAAUAUAAAAAUAGAAUUACAAUUCAAUAUAGAAUAAAUUAUUAAAUCUAUUAUUUUAUCCAUGAAAAUCUAGUAUAGUGCUCUAAAAGUAGUGAACUUGAAUACCAAACUUUCAAAUAAUUUCAUGAAGUGACAAAUGCAACUCCACAAGUACGUUACUUACCUGCAAUAUGUGAUUAGAAUAUUUUACUUUCAUUUUUUUACUUUAGAACCAAAGCUACUAAUUAUUUUUAUUAUAAAAUAUAUGUUAAUGAUUAUAUAGUAUAUAAAUAGUUAUUUAUUAGAUUCAAUUAUUUUAUUGACUUGAUUGACAUAUACUUGAUGUAUUUUUUUUAUUUUAAACUUAAUUUUUAUGGGAUGAAUUAAAGAUAAAUCACUAUCUUGGGAUGAAUUGAAAUUGUCUAUUUGAAGAUAAAAUCAUAAUAAAGAAAAAAAAAUAUUAUUAUUAUUAUUGAUAUUUUGAAUAAAUUUAUAUUCCUCAUUUUAUAAAGAUGGAAGGAUAUUAUUUUUAAAUAAAAUAAGACCGCCUCUAUUAGGACUUGUUCAAAAAGAUAAAGAAUUCAAAAUUAUAAUAUUUUUAAGAUAUAAAAAUAUUAAUUAUCUUAUUCUAUAAUAAAAAAAUAUUAAGUAAAAAAGAAGCGGUGAUACUAAAAGAUAAUGAGAAUGAAGAAAAAAAUAUACAAGUACAAUUUAAUAAUUAAUAAAACUAAUAUAAUUAUCACAUUAACUAUAAAUUGAAUAUUUAUAUAUAGAGAUAGAUCGUGUGUGUAUAAAGAGAGAGAGAGAUCAUCUAUAUAUAUAUGUGUGUGUAUUCGGGUAUGGAUUUAGGUUUGGGUAUUACCCAUAUCCGUAGGUUCGGAUCGGAUUCGGAUUUGAAUUCGGAUUCGAAUAGAAAACAGCACUAUCCAUAUUCUAUCCAUAUCCGUACUACAAUUUUCGAAUUUUUUUCAAAUCCGAAUCCAAACCCAAUCAAAUCCUAUUUUUCAGGUUUGAUCGGAUUUGGAUAAGAUGCAUACCCAUCGGAUCGAAUUGAUUUUGCCAUCCAAUCGUAUCUUGGGAUAGAAUUUUUGAUAAAUACCAAUAUACAGAUUGAAAAUUCAUCUUAGGAUGCUGAUCACAUACUUCCGAGUUUUCUUUUUUGUAUCCUCGAUUUGAUAAAAUUCUCUUUGCGAAAGAAUUUUUUCUAACACAUGCCACCAAUCAUUGAGAUAUAUUAUUGUGGUUCCAUGAUUGACAUGAGUGCAGAAUGAAUGAAACCAUGCUAAUACAUCUUGGUGAUCGAGGGCGUGCACGAAUGUAUUCUUGUACGUAGUGCAUGCAAUAAUUCCUCGUGAGAAAGGGCCAGGAGCAAGUAAUUUUGAUGUUAACAAGACUUCCAAAAAAAGGUGAGAUGGCCAGCGGGCAGGCAAUUGGUCCCUCUCUAAUCAACAUCAAGUUGUUCCUCUAAUUUGCAAGCCCUUGAAACGCUGUCAUACCGAGUGGAAAGCGUCGUGCCAUCACGCUUUUUACUCCCCCACGAUCUCCCAAGCUGGCUUGGAAGGCGAAUGGAGUGUGAGGCCGGUCCACCUCCAAUAAUGAGCCCCACGUUUCUCACCUUUUCUUUACUCUAAUUCUCCUCAGUGGCUUAUCAUUUAAUUCAGACUUUUUUUGUUUAAUUACAAUUCCAGUAUGCUAAUCUCUACUAUAAUGCUGAUCUCAUUCUUGCAUAAUUUUGUGAUCUUUUUGUCGAGGAUGUACAUUUUUGUCCGACACUUGCAUUGCCCACGUAGAACUCUAGUUGAGUAACGAUAUAGUUUCUUUCAAAAUAAUAUUAUUGAUUUAAAAAUUAUAAUACAGCUCAGAGUCUCUAGGGAAGGUUUGUACUUGCAUCGUCCAAUCCGAAGUACUUCAUAGAAAUCAUAGGUCAUAUCAGUGCACGUGGCGACAUUUGAUUCUUUGAUUAGAGGGUGAUAGAAAUAUUUAUGCUACAAGAAUAAUUAUUUCACAAAUUAUUGAUGGUCUAGUUUGAGUUUUUAGAACUCCAAGCUAAAGGUAUAAUUCUUCCAUCAAGGAUAAUCAAUAUAAAAAGAUGAUCUAAUUCCAACAUAUAUUUUAUUCCAAAUACCCAUAUAAAUUUUUUUCACAAAACAUAUUUCAACUCAUUUAUAUUCUUGUUUGACCAGAAUUCCUUUUUCUCCAAAAUUUCUGGACUGUUUGGCAUGAAUAAAGGUUAAAUAGAUGGAUGGAGUUGGAAGGAUGAAUGACCUCUAUCCAUUAUUUGAUUCAAAAAAUUUUAGAGAUGAUGGAUAAAAAGAAAGAAUUAUCUAUCCAUCUGGACCCAUCAUUUUGCAUCUUCUAAAUUGGUGAAUGUAAGGAAUAAUGGAUAGAGUAUGUGAGAAGUGAGUUUCUAUAUUGAUAAAAUUAUCUGUUGACCCUAUGAUUGAUUUUGAUGAUUAUAAAAUAUUAAGAAAUUAUGAUACUAAUCAUAUAGUUUAAGAGUGGAUGUAGGAUUUCUGUAUUCAAAACGAAAAAAUCAUCAUUAAAAGAAAUUUUCUUAAGAUGUCAAGCUAAAAACUUCAUUCGUUCCACAAAUCUAGCUCACAAUAGUCAAUCCCAGGAGAAAAUGAGUCGACUCUGGCAUGCAGGAUGGCAUCAGCAUAGACCUCGAGUUGACUCUAGCACAACUUGAGUCGACUCUCUCAAAAAAAAUAGAGAAAUAAUUUUUUGGAUAUAGUGUUUAAGUCGACUCCCGAAGAUCUCGAGUCGACUCCAAACCUAUUCGAGUCGACUCUCAAGUUUCUCACAGUCAUAACAAAUUAUACAAAGAAAGUUGCAGAAACAUUCAAAGUUUGUUAGAACAGUUAGAUUUCAUUCCCAACAAGCACAAAUGGCUAGUUUUCAAUUUAAACAACUUUAAAAGGUCCGAGGAUCACGUGAAAAUAAGGAGAAACAAAUUAGAAAGAUAUAUUCAUCAUUUUGAGAGAGUUCAUUGAAUAUUCUUUAAGAAAGGAAACAAAGAGGGAUUUAGUGCAAGAAUUCUGUAUGCAUUCAAGUGCAGCUUUCUCCAUCAUCAACAAUAUCCUUCCAAGCAUCAAGAAAAAGAAGUUAAGUUUCAUUUGAGCAACUCUUCGUCAACUUUCUUCGAGCUUUUAAAGAGUUUUUGUUCUCUAUUUUUAUUGUGCUGAAAAUUGUUAUCUUAUAUCCUAUUUUCUUGAUAAGUUUUUUUGAGAGAAAAAAACUUAGGAUCAAGACUCGUCCAAGCUUGAAAUUGAAUAUGGUUGGUUUUGGUUGGUGAGCUCAGAAAACUAGCUGCAUUGAUUGUGAACUCAAAAAAUAAUCGAUAUUCGAUUUUAGUUGAUGAGUUCAAAAAAUUAACUGAAUUUAUUUAUGAUCCUGAGUAAAAUAAAUACAUUAUAAUUGUACUGAUUAUAGUGAAAUUCUCAAGAGGAGCUUAGGAAGUUGAUGUAAGUAUGGGAUUGCAUCGAACUACUAUAAAAUUACUUGUCUUUAUGGUGUGCUUAUUUCAUAUGCUUUACUUUUUACUUUAUAUUUAUUAUUUUAAGUUUUACAUUGCUUAAUUCCACUGUACAUAUUCUACAUCUCACAAAUACUCAAGUUAGCUUAACAUUGAAGUAUGUUAUUAUUUAGAUUUCAAAUUUAGUUAAAGUUAUUAAAGAAGCCAAUUCAUUUCCUCUCUUUUGAGUUACUAAUCUUUUUAGGCAACAAUACCCUUUAUAAACCUUUAAACGAAAUCCUAUCACUUUUAUAAUUUUUUAUUUAUUUUAUUUAUAUAUAUAUUUUUAGUUUUACUUAUACCAUUUAUCCUAUACUAUUAAAUUUCAUAUUAAAACUUUUUAAUUUCAACACACAAUUCCAUAAUUAUAAAUAAAUAAUUAAACCUAUCUUCCAUUUUUAUUUAUAUUUAUUAUUUUUAGUUAACUAUUUAUACAAAAUUAAUUAACUAUUUAAAUUAAAUUAUAAAUUGAUUAAUUAUUUAAAUAAUUAUAUAUAAAUAAAUUUAUUCAUAUAUAAUUAAUUUAUUAAAUUAUUUAUUAAACUAAAUUAAAUUAAAUAUUUAUAUAAUUAUAAAUCAUAAAGAUUUUAAUUUAUAUAUUACUCCAUUUUUUAGUAUAAAUAAGUAUUAUAAAUUAAUAAUAAUAAUACUUUUUAUUAAAAGAUAGUUUAAUAAAAAUAUUUAUAAAUACCAUCUAUCCUUCUUUUCUUUCCUUCUAUAUCAAAAAGUAGAGGGAAUAAUUCACAUCUAUCCUUCCAUAUUUUACUAAAUAUAUGAGAGGAUGGAUAGAAUAUCCAUUUAUUUCUUUAUCCAUUCUUUCUCUCCUAUCCACCCUUCCAUCAAUCCAUUGUUCGUGCCAAAUGUUAGUCCUGCUUUCUCUUGAGCUAAAUACAUCCUUGGAUCUCUACAAUCCAAGUGGUAACUUUUUGGCCCACUUCCAAGAAAUAUAGAACGGUAAGGAGGGCAUCUAAAUCGGAUCUUCUUCUUAAAUGGCUAAAGCAAUAACUCCACUGCCCGUUUCAAAGAACAUCAGCCAAAAGGUUGGCCACCUUACACAAAGAAUAUCCUGGCACCAAAUUUAUAGGCGAAAUGUCACUUCGAUUGGCACUCAUAAUGUGGAGACUAAAACAUGCCAUGUGACCCAAUGCCACAAUGUAAGGAUGAUCAAAGAUGUCUCAUGUACAUGACCCCAGUACGAAAACAAACCAAGACUACCAAGUUGCAUCAAUAGAAUGAUAAAUGGAGAUGCUAGACUCAACCGCAAAUUGAUAAUGUUGGCUAAUAAAUUAAUAUUAGUCUGUAAGGAAGAUCCUACUUAUAACUAACAAACUUAAGAGUUGAUGAUCAAAGAAUAUUGUUAAGUAUCGUAUCAUUAGAGAUAGCAAGACAGAAAGCUCUUUAAAUUUCAUUUUUUAUUUUAUAUAAUAUAAAAAAUAAAAAAAUAAUCAUCAGUAUGAUGCAGUGAUAACAAUAGAAAAAUAUAAAUAAUAAUAAUAAAAAUAAAAAACUAGAAAUAAAUUUCCAUCUAUACUUUUCACUUAAAAGUAAUUAUUCACUUAAGUUUCAAAUAAAAAUAGCUAUUCAUUUGAAACAUAAAUUAAAAACAACUACCCAUUUUGGUUGAACUGAUCCUUAUAUCCUUUAAAAUACCGUAAUAUUAUAUUAUCAUAGUGUAAUAUUUUUUUACAAUAAGAUAAUAUUAUAUUAUAUUAAUAUAAUAUUAUUUUAUAAUAAUAUUAUAUUAUAUUAUUAUAUUAUAUUAAUAUAAUAUUUUUUUACAAUAAGAUAACAUUACAUUAUAUUUGUGUAGUAUUCUUUUAUAAUAAUACACUGUUACUUUAUUAUAUUAUAUUAAUAUAGUAUACCUUUACAAUAAGAUAGUAUUAUAUUAUCAUAGUGUAAUAUUCUUUUAUUGUAAUAUUAUUUUACAAUAAUAUAAUAUUAUUUUAUAAUAAUAUAAUAUAAUUUUAUAAUAAUAUAAUAUUAUUUUAUAAUAGUAUACAUUUUAUAACUGUAAAGAUAGUUAGAUCAUUUCAUUUUUAUUUGAAUAAUUAUUUUUUAAAUUAUGUUUCAAAUGAAAAAUUACUUUUAUCUGAAACUCGAAUGGAUAGCUAAUUUUUAAAUUUGAAUAGCUAUUUUUAAAUUUAAACUUAAAUUGAUAAUUUUUUUUAAUUUACUCUAACAAGAAUAAUAAAAAUACUAAUAAUAACAGAAAGAAAAGAGAGAAUUGAAUUAUAUAUUUCCAAGACUAAGUAAAAAAGAAUAGCCACCUAUGAGCUUAUCAGUAUUGGUAUCUCUGAAAGUCCCGGUUUUCACUUGUAGAUCAUAAAAAGUCCCACAUUAAAAUACACUCACUCAAGCACAUAACAAAGCAAUAGAUAAGAAACCAAAAUUAAGAUUCAACACAAAUUCAUUGUACAUUAGAAAAUGCAAGUUAAUGUUAUUGAUUUUACUACCCACAUGACCACCUUCACAUCCAUUAAACUUUCCACGCAACUAUACUCAUCCACCACGCCAUUUUCAUUGUUUGCAAUAGAUAAUGCAUAAUCCAUCAAUAAAUAGUGGAAUCAUCUAAAGAAAACAGAUGAAUGAAGGUAAUUAUCAUUCAUGACGGACAGCUGAUAACUCGAAUUAAACCAGAAAUCCUCCACCUGACAAAAUCUAUCAGGGUCAACAUACGAGCAAGGAAAAAAAAACUUUUGGGUUUUAUGAGAAAGAACAUCAUCAUUCAUUUAUUAUAAUACAAAAUACAUAACCUAGUUUCACACGCCCCAUGAAGUCAUCCUUCCAAUUUGUUCAGAUUCAGCAUGCACAUGUUAAUCCAUGAACGCCUCCGUGCCAUCAAAAAGCAUUAAAGAAAAGGAAAAGAUAAAUCAGAAAAUUUCAAUGGAGGAAAGUCACAGGUAGGACAUUAUCCCCCAAAGAUUAUCCUUCAGCAUAUAGAUGAUGAUGCCAGCCUGGUCUCCAAACUCAGGAAAAUGAUGAUAUUACACCAGAUCGAAAUCAAGGAUAGUGUCCUUGGCCAAGAUCAAAAGGAGCAACUUGAAAUAUAUUAAAACCCAUUUUCGGGUGACCUCUUGGUGAACAUAAUCCAGAAAAAUCUCCUUAAAAAACCCAUAUAUCUGCCAGUAUACUGAGAAAAUCAGUAAGGAAGUGGUCGCUGCAGAUUUUGACACAAGAAGCAGUGCUGGUAUGAGAGCAUAAGUAAUUUUCUGUGAAAGCUCCAUUCUCUUUAUCUUCGAGCUUUCAUCCCCCAAUCCACUUUUUCGUUCUUUUGUAUGGCUCCCCUCCAAUGGGCUGAAAGCAAUAACCUUCGAACAAUCUCCCUCCUUUCCAUUACAUGUCCUCCGCAAAAGCUUUUCACAAAAUGAUGUUUUGAUAAAAUCAAUAACAAAUAAAAGCAAAUAUCAGAUAAACUCCAAUUCAAUAUUAAACUAUAAAUGCAGAGCUGGUGGAAUUGCAUACAUUCUUUUCAGUUGAAUUAGAAAGCUGAGAGAUGACUUGGUCUGACAGAUGUGUCAUAGUUCCACCAUGCGCAAUCCCAGAAAACCAACGAGGUAAUCCUUGUGUACCAGUAUGCACCAGUUUGAUCGAAUAGCUCGGAGGGAUUUGUUCAUAGGCCCAAAGCUGCAUAAACAGUGAACUUCAUGAAACAUUGAUAACAAUAGCAAAAAAUAAUGGAAGUGAAAUUUAACCAAGCCCAAUUAUUGCCUCCAGAGCAACAUGACAAGCACAUCUGUUAAUACCAUUAGGAGCUCGCCCGUCUUAUUAAUAUUAUGGGCAUAAUUAUGAAGGGUGGUUUAUAUUUUACUCCAAACACUUUGGUGCACAAUGAUCUGGCACACUCCGUCAUAACAAAAGGUUGUGAGCAAACCAGUCUUUAUACCAAAAAAAUCCUUAGCUUUUGGAUAUUUUUGACCCAUUUGAGUUAAGGCUCUCAUCUUCCUCUCAUUCUUUCCAACAAUAUAUCAAGAAAAAGGUAGUGAUUCUUUAAGAUGAGGUUGUUGAUAUAAGCAUUUGAGUUGUUCAUUUCAACUGCAUUAUAACUUUUAUUGCAGCAGCAAUUACGAGACUUUCAAAACAAAUAACAGUAAAUAAUGGAAGUUAAAUUUAACUGAGCUAAAUCAUUGCCUUAGUAGCAUCAUAAGAAAACUUAUUACAUGUUUUUGGAAGAUUACCUCAAUCUUACUUAAGAUUCUGGACAUAAUUAUAGAGGGUGGUUUAUCUUUCACUCACAUAAUCUGCUGGAGCAAUAAUUUGCAAACUCCCUCAAACAGGAGGUAGGGGGGAACCUUUUUUUGUAAUAAAAAAUAUCUUAACUUUUGCAUCUCUUCAGCCCACUAGAGUUAAAGCAAAUAUCUUCCUCUCCUUUUCCAACAAUACAUUACAAAAAAAUUAAUCAUUCUUGUUGAUGAAAUUGUUGAUGUAAAAAUUUAAACAACUGACUUCAAAUGCAUUAUGACUGUUGUUGUAGCAGCAUUUAAGAGGACGGCAAUGGAAAGAUGAGGAUUCAGUUGGGCAUUCGCCUAAACUCUAAUAUUUUCUUGGCUCCUGAAAAACACCAACCUUUGGGUGUCUUAAUACAACUACUAUCCAGGUAAUUUGAUCGGUAUGCUUUUUCAGGCAUCACAUUAUUUCUGGUUUCCCAUGCACAACAUGCCACCUGUCCCUGAUAAGACUCAAGCUCAGGCUUAACAAAUCUCCAGAAGCCAUUAGCAUGACCCAAGAACUCUAAAGAAAUUAAUUUAUUCAACAUACAAAAAAAAGUACAUAAAAAGGACAACCGUCUAGCUCUAGAACACAAUGUGUCAUAAGUCUCUAUAACUUAAAGCGAAUCAGCCCCAUACUGAGGACCCAGUUCUGUACAACACACACACACACACACACACACAUGAGUGCAUCCCUAAGUUUUCAGUUUUAGAUAAGUAUGACCAAAAAGAUGAAAAAGAAGAAGGAGAAGAAGUGAAAAUGAGGAAAGAAAAAAACAGAAACAGAGAGAAUAAAGGUUAGAGUUUAAUCAUGUGAAAUAAUAACUGAAUCAAUUAGCACAAGAGGUUAUCCUUCCACAAAAUCCAGGGACAUAACAUUUAAUCUAAUGACAUAAGGAUUAUGAGAAGUAAUCCAUUCUAUCCAGACUAUCAAAAAUCAGCUAACCAUUGCUCUAUUGACUGAAUGGGUUCUAUUACUUUUGAGAAUCAAAGGUUAAAAAAAAUCAGUACAAUAUACAAAUCAUCUAAUCAGAAGAUCAACACAAGAGGACUUUAUUUUCUUAUUGCAUAUAGCUGUCAUGAAUACAGCUUUAACAUCAGGCAAAGCCAUAUUAUAAAAGGACUAAGAUAAUACUGGCACUAAUUAGCCAUGUACAAGUGGCUUAUUCAUUCGUACAACUAACAGUUAAGUUAUGCACAUGUCUAGGAUGCUUGUAUUAUGUCAAAAAUAUUUGUACAAGUGCACAUGAGAGUGCCUAUGAGGUUUUCAAGAAAGUAGAAGGCCCAUCCAACUGCCGUGAUUGGCACUCUAGUAGACAUGACUAAGAUUCUUCUACAUCUUUUCUGGGAUUUUAUUUAACUGCCAUGCAAAGGUACCAACAAUUCAGUAAUCCUGUUAUAACGAUGCCUGAGGGUUACUGUUAUUGGGCAUUAUAGCAGAAAUAAUGGCUAGAAUUGUCUUCCCCAGAUUUCGAUGAAUACUCCCAGGACAGAACAGUUGCUGCCAUAAUAGCUGUUAUAGACAUUCUAAACAGCAGAGGCAACAACAACAACAAAAAUUAAUGGUGGCACUUGAUAAAAUGGCAUUUCAAACAUUAAAAUUUGUGGGAGCCUAUGCUGGCGUGGGUUCAAUCCACAUUGGUUGUACAUUAGAAAGAUCUCGGGUACUUAUCAGGCUAAAAAAUCCAAACAAUACCUUCUGGUAAGCCUUUUUCUGUGAGGUCCUGAGUUGCUAUAAUGGUAUCCAGGUCAAUGCACGCCAUAGCAAUAUGGACUAGGAGACACUGAGCCAUAAUUCUUUUAGGAGAUGAUCACGAGCCAAUCAUAGAGUUUGUGGUUGGGUUUGAUUGGCUUUGGAAAUCCCUAGCUUGCAAAAGGAUGUCAGGACGUAGACGGAGGGAGUAUGUGAGAUCCCGUGGUAGCAUGUGUUUAGUUGGUGGCGGCCAGGGUAAUUACACAGUUUCAUAAUAAUAUAUUACGGUUAGUGCAUUUAUGCAUCAAAGUAUUGACGCGGAAUGACAAUUUAUUUUUCAUAAACGUGAAAAGAUCAAAUGAAGAAAGAAAUAGCCGCUAUUUAAAAUCCCACCAUAUAUACAUGCACAACAAAUGGGGACCUCUUCACGAUUACAAUGAUUAUAAACCAUGGUGUCAGCAUAUUCUCGCGCAAUUCGUUAAUAGCCUCGUAGAAUAAUCUUUUUCCUUAGCAGUAUAACCAGCGAAUAUAGGAUUACGAAAUUCUACUCAGCAGGAAUUUUUCCCCAUCAAUCCUUCUCCCUGCAGAAAAACCCUAAUAAAGUUUUCAUCUUUCACAGAGCUAACACCUACUAUUAUCAGGAGUUCGACAGAACUAUAGAUCAAAUACCACUGAAUCCUAAGCCCAUGGAAAAGAAGAAUAGUAGGAGGAAGAAGGAAAAGGGUAAAUCGCACCUUUCUGGAGCCAAGGAGAGCGUUGUGGUGGGGAGCAGUAACCGAAUCGAGCACGGGGGCGGCGGGGGCCGAUCCAGCGGCGGGGGAUCUGCAAUCGGGCGGCGGCGGGGCUCGCCCAUGAUCUAGAGGGGGACGGGGAAGCGACGGAGAGGCGAGGGAGUGGAGAGCUCGGAGAAAUUGGGAGGACGAGGAGGGAAAGGCGUCGAUCGGGGAGGAGGAGCGGUGGAGGAGGCCGGAUAGGUUUAGGGUUUUGGAUCGGGUCAGAAGAAGGGCAGCCAUGGCCGUCGCCGCUCUCGGCGUUAGAGAGGAGAAUAGGAAGCGAAGAGGGAGAAAAAGCUGAGCAGCGACUGAGUACUUAGAGAGACGAGGUAGCAACGCGACAGCUGAAUCGCCGUUCGUGCACGCGCUUUGCAGUCGCAAGCUGCGCGUGGAAGAAGCGUGGCUUUCCUUUUCGCUGGCGUCCGAGCGAACAGACGCUUAACGCGAAGUUGGUAAACUAUACUCCCGUGACACGAAUGGACGCCCGGCUUUAGUGCGAGCAUUGCCGCCUAAAGCUUUCCACGAGAGCGAAAAGCAAAAACCAUGGGCUGGAGUUACCGCCGUGGUAACGAAUCUACCCUUUGUGAAGAACGAGGGCCAAAAAAAUUCAUUUUUGAAGGACGAGGGAACUUUUAAACACAAGGUACCUACUGCUCAAACAACCUCAAAAGUGAUAAUUUUUAAUGAUUGUUGGGAUCAUUCAAUCUAUCUCCGACUCCGACUCUACAUUAUUUUUAUAAAUAUAAUAUUUUAAUUAACAAUCAGCUAACCGACCGACAGUCGACUAUUAUCAACCAACAAUGAACAACUACGACGACUCAGUUAAUAUCCGACUGAUGAUCAUCGAUAUAUCAGAGUUACCAUCUAAUUCUUAUUCGGAUCUCCACCGACCUACUACUAUUACCGACAUAUAGUUCGUUUAUCUUUUCAACACAUCUAACCAUUAUAAACGGUUAUCGAUUGCGUAUCACGGUCAUUAGUGGACAUAAAUGAUCCAUUAACUCUAUGAUUAUGGUCCGAUAAUUUAGCGCCAUAAAAAGCGAAACUACGUGCUCGACGGUUAUAUCAGAAUCAUUUAUAAAAGAAAGGUAAAUGAGCAGUAUGGAUAAAAUAAUUCUAAGAUGAAACUCUAUCAAUUCAAAUAUUCUUCAUCUGCUGUUCAUAACUUUCCAUUGAUUUAAGCAUCAGAAGAUCCUUGUCGGAUAUAAUUUCGGUCUGUGAGGACUUUGUUUUGCAAGUGCUUUUUACCGACGACAGACGAUAGGAGUUGACCGCAACAAUGAUAAAUCUGAUAAUUUAAUUAAUGGAUAAAAGAUAUAUCCAUAGUAAUUAAAAAAUAAAAAAUUAUAAAAUUGAAUAGAAAAAUCUAUCUCGAAUACCCAAAAGAUAGAUUUCAUAUGAUUUGCUAUGCAUGAUACGAUAUAAUCAACAAUACUGCUUGCAUCGCAACAAUCAUUCAUUGCAGAAGAGGAUGAAACCCAUCUCCAUCAGCAAUCUUCCACGGAACAUGCAACAAGAUAGACAGGAUAUUCUUUGGAGGAAACUAACUAUAAUAAUUCAUUGUUUCUUGCUAUUAUACAUUAACGCAUUUCUUCUACCACUCAUUUUCUCAUAAGUGAACUUGUUGGGAUAUACCGACUGACUCUAUCCGACCGACCGACUCCAUCCGACCGACCGACUCCUCCCGACCGACCGCGGGCGACACCGACAGCGACUAUCGAUUGCGCCUCGAUCGAAACGGGUCAGCCUAGUGGCCCCACGUCGCCUCCGAUCGCCUGAGGGCUGACCCCCCGUCGCCGACUUCCCAUCGGAUGGGACACUGACGACUCACUGUCGGUUUGGAUGGCUGUCGUCCCACCUCUACAGGCCUUCCUAGAUGUCGGAUGAGCGGCGUGGGCUGCAGUCCCAUCAAGUAAACGCCGCACGAAUGCCAGGGGGCAUUACCCUGCCAGGAAGCCUGGGGUGCUAUCCUGCUAAGGACGAGAAUUAAUUCCUAGGACCUAUCAACUUUGUCAACGGCAUGACAACUUCUGACGAUUUGACAACUCUCCAGUUGUCUACAUCACCGACGGCGGGGCCAUACCACCUCCUACUAUAAAUCGGAGAAGGCAACAGUGCUACAGGGGGGCUUCUCGGAGAAAAUGCUCAGGCUUGCUCUCUCUCUCUCUCCCUCUCUCCCCGUAGAGCUCCUUGUCUNNNNNNNNNNNNNNNNNNNNNNNNNNNNNNNNNNNNNNNNNNNNNNNNNNNNNNNNNNNNNNNNNNNNNNNNNNNNNNNNNNNNNNNNNNNNNNNNNNNNNNNNNNNNNNNNNNNNNNNNNNNNNNNNNNNNNNNNNNNNNNNNNNNNNNNNNNNNNNNNNNNNNNNNNNNNNNNNNNNNNNNNNNNNNNNNNNNNNNNNNNNNNNNNNNNNNNNNNNNNNNNNNNNNNNNNNNNNNNNNNNNNNNNNNNNNNNNNNNNNNNNNNNNNNNNNNNNNNNNNNNNNNNNNNNNNNNNNNNNNNNNNNNNNNNNNNNNNNNNNNNNNNNNNNNNNNNNNNNNNNNNNNNNNNNNNNNNNNNNNNNNNNNNNNNNNNNNNNNNNNNNNNNNNNNNNNNNNNNNNNNNNNNNNNNNNNNNNNNNNNNNNNNNNNNNNNNNNNNNNNNNNNNNNNNNNNNNNNNNNNNNNNNNNNNNNNNNNNNNNNNNNNNNNNNNNNNNNNNNNNNNNNNNNNNNNNNNNNNNNNNNNNNNNNNNNNNNNNNNNNNNNNNNNNNNNNNNNNNNNNNNNNNNNNNNNNNNNNNNNNNNNNNNNNNNNNNNNNNNNNNNNNNNNNNNNNNNNNNNNNNNNNNNNNNNNNNNNNNNNNNNNNNNNNNNNNNNNNNNNNNNNNNNNNNNNNNNNNNNNNNNNNNNNNNNNNNNNNNNNNNNNNNNNNNNNNNNNNNNNNNNNNNNNNNNNNNNNNNNNNNNNNNNNNNNNNNNNNNNNNNNNNNNNNNNNNNNNNNNNNNNNNNNNNNNNNNNNNNNNNNNNNNNNNNNNNNNNNNNNNNNNNNNNNNNNNNNNNNNNNNNNNNNNNNNNNNNNNNNNNNNNNNNNNNNNNNNNNNNNNNNNNNNNNNNNNNNNNNNNNNNNNNNNNNNNNNNNNNNNNNNNNNNNNNNNNNNNNNNNNNNNNNNNNNNNNNNNNNNNNNNNNNNNNNNNNNNNNNNNNNNNNNNNNNNNNNNNNNNNNNNNNNNNNNNNNNNNNNNNNNNNNNNNNNNNNNNNNNNNNNNNNNNNNNNNNNNNNNNNNNNNNNNNNNNNNNNNNNNNNNNNNNNNNNNNNNNNNNNNNNNNNNNNNNNNNNNNNNNNNNNNNNNNNNNNNNNNNNNNNNNNNNNNNNNNNNNNNNNNNNNNNNNNNNNNNNNNNNNNNNNNNNNNNNNNNNNNNNNNNNNNNNNNNNNNNNNNNNNNNNNNNNNNNNNNNNNNNNNNNNNNNNNNNNNNNNNNNNNNNNNNNNNNNNNNNNNNNNNNNNNNNNNNNNNNNNNNNNNNNNNNNNNNNNNNNNNNNNNNNNNNNNNNNNNNNNNNNNNNNNNNNNNNNNNNNNNNNNNNNNNNNNNNNNNNNNNNNNNNNNNNNNNNNNNNNNNNNNNNNNNNNNNNNNNNNNNNNNNNNNNNNNNNNNNNNNNNNNNNNNNNNNNNNNNNNNNNNNNNNNNNNNNNNNNNNNNNNNNNNNNGGCCCCCGACCGACGGUCGGGUAUCACCCCCAUGACGGGACCAGGGGUCACCCCGACGCCGGAGCCCGAGGCCGACACGCCCCAGGUACGAUUUCUACACUCCCAUCUCUGCUCUCCGUGCGCAGAUUUUGAUGAAGAUCGAAGAGGAAGAGUACCUGUGACGGCCUCCGCCUUUGAAGGCAAAGGGCCUCGACCGACGGAAAUACUGCCGAUUCCACUGGGGCCACGGCCACAAUACCGAGCAAUGCAUCCAGCUUAAGGAUGAGAUCGAAGCCCUCAUCCGCCGGAGAUAUCUCGAUAAAUUUCAAAGGAACCCACCAACCCAACCCAUUGCCGACCGACGACCCCAGCCGACCGGAGAAGCGACUGAUAAUCGACCUAUGGUCGGGGUCAUCAACGUGAUUUUCAAACGGCUGGAUCCGGGGACGUCCGCUGGAGGGGAGCCGGUGAAGAAGCUACGCCCGGACGAUGUGAUUACCUUUACAGAAGAAGAUGUUUGGGGCAUCCAAAUCUCCCAUGAUGAUGCUGUUGUUGUCUCGACAACAAUAGCCAAUUAUGAUAUAAAAAGAAUUUUUGUAGAUAAUGGAAGUUCAACGAAUGUUCUGUUUUACUCGACCUUCUCACGGAUGCGACUGUCGGCCGACCGACUCAAGAGAGUCUCCACGCCCCUAAUAGGUUUCGCUGGAGACGCUGUCGCAGUGGAAGGAGAGGUCACCCUGCCCGUGAUGGCUGGAGCCGAACCACGGUAAAGUACGGUCCUCCUGACUUUCGCGGUCGUCCGGGUGCCCUCGGCCUACAACGCCAUACUCGGAAGAUCCGGACUGAACGCCCUCAAGACGAUAGUUUCGACGUAUCAUCUUCUGGUGCGGUUCCCGAUCAAAAACGGCGUCGGAGAGAUGCGCGGAGAUCAACACCUCGCCCGUCAAUGCUUUCAGAUCUCCGCUCAAAGCGACGAAUCGAAAGGCCCCCUGACGGCCGAUAAGCUGGACCAACGGGAGGAAGAAGAGCGGGGCGAGCCGGCCGAACAGCUCAUUCCCAUCGCGAUAGCAGGGGACCCCGACCAGAAGGUGUGGGUCGGGUCUCAAUUACCCGACCCCGAGCGGCGACAUUUGGCAGAGCUACUGAAGGCAAAUACCGACGUAUUCGCUUGGUCGGCGGCGGAUAUGCCGGGAAUUCCCCCAGAGAUGAUGACCCAUCGACUCAACAUCGACCCAUCAAUGAGACCGGUAAGGCAGAAGAAAAGAUCUUUCGCUCCAGAAAGACAGAGGGCCAUCGACGAGGAGGUGGAUAAGCUACUCGAGGCAGGCUUCAUCAGGGAGAUCACUUAUCCCGAUUGGCUCGCCAACGUUGUAAUGGUGAAAAAAGCCAACGAAAAGUGGAGGAUCUGCAUCGACUACACCGACUUGAAUCGAGCCUGUCCAAAGGACAGCUUUCCACUUUCGAAGAUCGAUCAGUUGGUGGAUGCGACGUCCGGCUACCGACUGCUCAGCUUCAUGGACGCCUUCGUAGGGUACAACCAGGUCUGGAUGGCGCCCGAAGAUGAGGAACGCACCGCCUUCGUAACCGUCAAGGGCCUCUACUGCUACAGAGUAAUGCCGUUCGGACUGAAGAACGCUGGCGCCACCUUCCAACGACUGGUCAACAAGGUCUUUAAAGAUCAGAUCGGGCGCAACAUAGAAGUGUACGCUGACGACAUGCUGGUAAAGAGUACGCAAAUUUCGGAUCAUGUCCGGGAUCUCGAAGAAACCUUCCGCACUCUAUGACGACACCGGACAAAGUUGAACCCGGCCAAGUGCGCCUUCGGAGUGACCUCGGGGAAGUUCCUAGGAUUCCUCAUCUCACAACGGGGAAUCGAGGCUAACCCCGAGAAGAUCAGGGCCAUCAUCGAUAUGCGACACCCGGACACCAAGAAGGAGGUGCAGCAACUCAACGGAAGGAUCAUCGCGCUGAGCCGAUUCAUUUCUCGAUCGGCUGAGAGAUGCCUCCCGUUCUUCAAAACCUUGCGACAAGCCAAGCAGUUCUCUUGGCCGGACGAGUGCCGGCAAGCCUUCGAGGAACUGAAGAGGUACCUGGCCUCUCCGCCACUCCUCGUGAGAUCGGAGGUCGGGGAGGUCCUGUACCUUUACCUGACUACGUCCCCGGAGGCGGUUAGUUCGGUGCUCGUCCGAGAGAACGAGAACCGGGUUCACCAACCGAUAUAUUAUGUCAACAAGGUGCUCCAUGAAGCUGAGACUCGGUACUCGAAAGUAGAGAAAAUGAUUUUCGCUCUAGUCAUUUCAGCACAGCGACUCCAUCCGUACUUUCAGGCACACGCCAUCGUGGUCCUCACCAACCAGCCUCUGAGAGCCAUCUUGCACCGCCCUGACACAUCAGGACGGCUGGCGAAAUGGGCUGUGAGACUGAGCGAAUUCGACAUCCAAUACCGGCCACGACCUGCCCUCAAAGCUCAGGUUCUGGCCGACUUCAUCGCCGAAUGCCCGAUGACCAACCUACCGUCGGGGGAGGGAAGCCCCGUGGAGGUCGGGACCUCCGACUGUGACCCCGACUCGGCCUGGAUGUUGCACAUCGACGGAGCUUCCAAUGCUCAAGAGAGCGGGGCCGGUUUCCUACUCACCAACUCGGAGGGGGUGGUUACUGAGCACGCCCUCCGAUUCGACUUCAAGGCCUCCAACAAUCAGGCCGAGUAUGAGGCGCUCGUCGCGGGUUUGAAAUUGGCAUUGGAGCUCGGGGUUGACCGACUCAAAGUCUUCUCCGACUCUCAACUGGUCGUUGGGUAGAUCAAGGGCGAGUUCGAAGCACGAGAUCCGACCCUGGUCAAAUACCAUCGAAAAGUGAAAGAUCUCGUGGCACCCAUCGAGUACUUCAAAAUCUCCCACAUCCCUAGGGCGAAAAAUGCUCGGGCUGACGCGCUCUCCAGGCUCGCGACAUCCGACUAUGGUGCCUUGGGCCGGACGUUCGUGGAAAGUCUUGAACGGUCGAGCAUCGAUCGGGUCGAAGAGGUGCUGCAACUGACGGUGGAGUCGAGCUGGAUGGACCCGAUCGCUCAGUACCUGACCAAUGGAUCUACCCCCGAAGACCCUGCAGAAGCCAAGCGACUCCGGUGGGUGGCUUCCCAAUAUGUGAUGAUCGACGGCUGACUAUACAAAAGGUCAUUUUCGCUUCCCCUGCUGAAGUGCCUAGGGCCCACCGACGCAGACUAUGCCCUCAGGAAAGUACAUGAAGGAAUCUGCGGCGAUCACUUGGGGGGCAAGUCCUUAGCUUACAAAGUCCUGCGACAGGGCUACUACUGGCCCACUAUGAAGAAGGACGCCGCCGAGAUGGUUCGAAGAUGCGAACUGUGCCAAAGGUAUGCCAACGUACAACACCGACCCGCCAGCCAGCUUGCUCCGGUUAUCGCCCCGUGGCUCUUCGUCCAGUGAAGAAUCGACAUAUUCGGACCUUUUCCCCCAGCGUCCGGACAAUGAAAAUUCAUCGUUGUCGUGAUUGNNNNNNNNNNNNNNNNNNNNAAUAUCGUGAGCCGGAUAACUCCGAGUGUCGGAGGGCUGACUUGGACCUCUUACCUGAGCUCCGACGCGAGGCACAACUUCGUAUGGCUUCUUACCGAUAAAAGGUGGCCCGAUAUUACAACGCUAGGGUAAAGCCAAAGCUCUUUCGACCUGGAGACCUGGUCUUGAGAAAGGUGGAGGUCUCAAAACCCUUGGAUCAGAAAAAAUUAUCCCCGAACUGGGAGGGACCCUACAAGGUAGCCGACGCCUACGGAUCGAGAGCUUACCGACUGGAAACCCUGGAAGGGAAACCCAUUCCCCGGACCUGAAACGCCGACAAUCUGAGGUUGUACUAUCAGUGAACUCUGUACCUCCCCCAUUUGGAAUACGAACUCAGUUUAAACUUCGGAGUCUGAAAUUUCGACCCUUCGACUGUGGUUCGGCGCUCACUAAGGAAUGCGAGCCUCCGACGUCCCAACACGGACUUAACGUUCUACUGCGGGCCGUCGGACUGACCAUCGACGAUGCGUCGAAUGUUUAAAGGACCGACGCACUUGCGAAAAUGGGAGUUACACUCCUUCUACAACUUUCGGCUAGAACGUUCGGGCAGAACGAUCGGCCGACUUGCCGACCCCACUCCGGUCGGGAAAGGCAAAAGCGCCAACGCAACCAACGCCGCGUUCGUGACUUACCGAUCGGGUCGAGGCCGAUCGAAGGGUAUUCGGCUUACCACCAUUUAUCACACGGUGCUACACAAGUGCCCGACCUAAGUCUGGGUAAGGGGAACUCGAUUUGCCAUCGCUUUUCCGACCAGACACGUCGACCGCGUGCGAUGAUGUACCAGACAUAGUCCGAUCGAUCGCAUCGGACGACAUUGGGGUCAUCGGGGUGCACCCGAAAGUCGGUCGACUUUCUUCCCCACGAAUGACCUUCGACUCCGCCGGCACGACCGACUCAGCGGACUCGUGCUUGGAAGUCAGUCGACCCCCGACUCACGCCAGGACGACGUACGUUCGACUCUGGCAUUCGGUUUACGGCCUAACGACGGAUGUUCGGUCCAGGCCUUGAGACGGGCGAUCAGUGGUCGGGGUUCAUCUUGCUUACCCUAUACCAAACCACCGACUAUCUCGACUAACGACUCAGGAUGACGUUGGGUGUCCUAAUGCGGCACGCCAAGGCUGCGGCUCUCCGACCUUAUGACCCCACGAUUACAAGUACAUCCCAACAGGCAAGAAAAGGAAGUCGAAAAGGGAACUGGAAAUUUCUUAAGUUCAUUUGAUUACAAAAUCGGGCCGAAGCCCGGUUAUAAGUGCGCAAAGAAAAACAAAAACACUAAAGGAAGAUAAGGCCGCGAUCAUCCUUCGGAGUCAAUUUCCUCGACUGACGGAGGCUCGGGGAUGACCGGUGUAUCUACCAUGAUCAGCACUGGGUCGACGGCCGAGGCAGGAUCGUCGGUCGAUGCUGGAUCAUGGGUCGGAGCCUGGUCAGGAGUCAGGGCCGUCCCUCCUUCGGCAAUCUGUUCUGGGACGGCCUCUCCCACCGCAGCGACGCCCCCCGACGACGGGUCGGCCAUCUCUUCCGUGGCUUCGUCCUCGGCCCCCGGUGGAAUGAUGCCGCUGAGGUCCAGCUCCGGGUACAGAGCUUGGACUGCAUCCCGACCAUCCUCGUAUCCCACCCGGUACGACGCAAAGCCGGACUCCAGCAGCUCCUCUCGAUACCGGUCGGAGCCACGAAAGUCGUCCACCGCCCGACUCACUGACUCCUUCGCCGACCUCGCCUCCGCUUCCAUCCGAUCGAGAGAGUCCUUCGCCGACUCCGCCUCUGCCUUCGCUAUGUCGGCAUCGGCCUGGGCAAUCGACAAGUCCUCCUCAGCCUUGGUGAGAUUCUGCAGGCUGACCCGGAGCUGCUUGCAUUCGGCCUCGAGCUCGGCGGCGACGCCGUCCCGUUCGCGCCGCAGACGGCGUGCAGUCCGACCCUUGCGCUUGGCUUCCUUUCGGGCUGACUUGAGCUCGGACCCGAGACGAGAGACCUCGUCCACCAACUUCGCCUCCCAGUCGGUCGACUGCUUCAGGUGUUCGACCAGCAUCGCCCUGUCGGCUUCAGCGACCGUCGCCCUGUCCUUCCAGGCCGCCCAGACGUUCCCGAACCUCCGGUACCCGGCCUCAAGUUCGGACAUGGUAUAGAUUAGUUGCAAAUGUGGGCACUAUGUCAGGAAAGCGAAGUAAUGAAAACACUAAGAAGGAAGGAGACGAAGUGGAACUUACCCCGACCAUGGUCGGGUAGAACGAAGAUAGCAUCUCGGUCACUUGCCGAGACUUCAGCACCUCCACGUCGGCUGGGAGAAGGAUCCCCUGGCACAGUCUCCUGGCCAAGUUGUGGUCGGCCAGCACCGACGCUCCUUCGGGGACCUGAGCGCCAGGUGGCGCGGUGCGACUCCCCAACCUUGUAUCGUCAGCGGGGUCCAUCGGGGCUUUCCCCCGAUCGGCUGCCCCAGCCAAUGGAUCGGGUAAGGAGGGGAUGCUCGAGCUUGACUGAGCACCCCCCGUUGCAACUGUGGGAGCCGACGGAUAACGUUCGGGUUCCCGAAUGGCGUCUGACGCCACUCCCGUCGGCGAAGCCGCCGACGUUCCUUCAGCCGCUUCCUCCGCCGGCCGCUCCUCCGAUUGCCCCGUCGGAGCCGAGAGUGCAAUCACCGGCUCCGACUGAUCGGUCGUCGACGCUGCGACGGUCGGCGCCGCUGUGGAGGGUUUCUUCGACGACCGUGAAGGUCCGGCCCCCGAUGUCGGCCUCUUCCUCGCCGCAUAUUGUCUGAUUUCAGCGUCGGUCGGCCUCAUCCUCGGCGGUGUCCCUGCGAUGCCGACAGAAGGAUCAGUAUAUGCACGAGAACGAAUGCCAAAUAAAAAGACAACCGAUGGAUCGGGCGAUACCUAGACGGGGGACCAGGCUCAGGCCAGCGUCAUAGAGGGCUUGUUCGGUAACAAGCUCCCUCUGCUUCAGAACCGACAUGUCCUUGAGUCGGUGGAAGUCCUCCCGGUCGUCCGCCUCCACUCGGCUGUUCUCGUUUGCCUCGGUUCGAGGCACGUCCCAGUGAGAAGGGAAGCCCCAGGGAGAAGAAGAAAAAACAAAGAAAAACUGGUUCUUCCACCCAUGAAUGGACGAUGGAAGGCCAGUGAUAAAGGAAAAACCCUUCCGGAGGUUGAAGAGCCACCACCCUCGGGCCUUAGGGUGGGGACGGAGGACAAAAAAUGUCCGGAAGAGAGAGAUACGAGGGUUGGUCGGCAGAAGCUGACACAACAGGACGAAGCUAAUUAUUAGCCGAACAGAGUUCGGUGCCAGUUGCGUCGGACAAAGUCCGUAAUAAUCUAGCAGAUUCCGGACGAACUUCGGAAUCGAAAGCCGAAGACCAACCCGGAGGUCCUCGACGUACAGUGCCACCUGGCCCGCGGGUGGGUUGUUAACCCGACCGCCGGUCCCUGGGGCGAAAAGUUGGAACUGCUCCGGGAUAUGAUACUGAUCCCGAAGCCGAUCCACAUUCGGCUCCGAAAGCGAGGAAACCUCAAUUUCCGGAGUCGACCGAAGGUCAUCGGUCGGGUUCUCCGACCGAGCCUCCUGAGGUGUGGUUCUGGCCAUAACGCCGGGACCGAGAGGAAGACAAGAUCGAAGAAGGAGGAAAAGAAAGGGUUUUAAAGAAAACUAGAGCAAAACAGAGGAGGGGACGAGCUCCGAACGAACCCUUAUGGGAGUGGGGGUGGGCGCAGCUGCCGUCGACGACAGAGAGACCGCUUGGGCAGAGCCUCCGCAGCAAAAUCGUUAGAAAUGGAGCUUCGAGUAUAAGUGGCCCCAUAUAUAUAGGGCUGUUCGACGGUUGAGAUGACGCCGCACCGACCGAGACUCCUCGGAUGGGUGACACGUGGCGGCAUCCGGGCCCCCUUUCGAUCCGAUGAUUCGGCGCACCCAUCCCGGAAAGGCCACGCCGCCUUCAUUAAAUGCGAGGGACGCCGGGCCAACAACCCCUGACACGUGGCGGAAGGGCCGCGAUUCGAAAUUAAAUUGCCCGUGGCGAUUCGCGUCCCCGAUGGGACGCCUGACAGCGACCCGCGCUCCCAGAACCGAUGCCGGAGGGCGGUUUGUGUUCCCCGAAAGACGCCGGACACCCGAUCGCCUGACACCGGAUCGUCCGACACUCGAUCGUCUGACACCCGAUCGCCUGACACCGGAUCGUCCGGCACCCGAUCGCCUGACACCGGAUUGUUUGACGUCCCGUCAUCGGACGACGGGACACCUGACGUCGACUUGACCGGACCAUCUGCCGGUGAGGUCGGCAAACUCGGUCCAGGACGUAGCAAGGAAUCCACUCCUUUCGCCCAAUGUCCUACCUGCGUGGAGACGCGGGCCAAUGCGACAUCAGGCUCAGGAGUGGGGGGGGCAAUUAUUGGGAUAUACCGACCGACUCCAUCCGACCGACCGACUCCUCCCGACCGACCGCGGGAGACACCGACAGCGACUAUCGAUUGCGCCCCGAUCGAAACGGGUCGGCCUAGCGGCCCCACGUCGCCUCCGAUCGCCUGAGGGCUGACCCCCCGUCGCCGACUUCCCAUCGGAUGGGACGCCGACGACUCACUGUCGGUUUGGAUGGCUGUCGUCCCACCUCUACAGGCCUUCCUAGAUGCCGGAUGAGCGACGUGGGCUGCAGUCCCAUCAAGUAAAUGCCGCACGAACGUCAGGGGGCAUUACCCUGCCAGGAAGCCUGGGGCGCUGUCCUGCUAAGGACGAGAAUUAAUUCCUAGGACCUGUCAACUUUGUCAACGGCAUGACAACUUCCGGCGAUUUGACAACUCUCCAGUUGUCUACAUCACCGACGGCGGGGCCAUACCACCUCCUACUAUAAAUCGGAGAAGGCAACAGUGCUACAGGGGGGCUUCUCGGAGAAAACGCUCAAGGCUUGCUCUCUCUCUCUCUCCCNNNNNNNNNNNNNNNNNNNNUCUCUCCCCGUAGAGCUCCUUGUCUCUUCUUCUCCAUUGCCCAGUCUCCUCUCUGACUUGAUCAUCGGAGGAUCCCCGUCGGAGCUGCCUCCGGUCAGCGCGGACUUUCUUUUGCAGGUACUCGUUCCCGGCGAUCAGGCGACGAGGGGAUUGACCGCAACAGAACUCAUUUAGUAAAUAACACAGUUGCUAAGAAUAUUUUUCCUUUUUCUCUCAAGAAAAACGACAUUGUAUUAAUCAAGAGCACCUGUUACAUUCUUUAACAAAAUGUUGGCAAUGGAAUUAGGGGCUCUUCAAUCCAACUCCAAAUAUCAUCAAUAAAACUUAAAUGGUCGGCCAAAUUAUAGGCUGCUACAGCUGCUUUGCUGCUUCUGUGACGCCUCUUCCUGCCACAAGAAAUUCUAAUAGCGCUGCAUUGAGCUCUAUAUAUCCUUUUCAUGCUUAGCUUAGUACUGCUCACUCUAAUUUUAAGUCUUGGCAAUGUCUAUGCCGCCGGCCAUGCAAAACCCGUUGUGAAUUGGUUCGUAUACUCGACAUAUCUCCAUAUACCUAAUCCUUUUCCUCGAGCUUUUAAACCCCAUGGUCGUUGAGAAACCUGUGAUACCAAACUGCAUCCACAUAAAGUCUUUGGAGCACCAAGACAGUUUCUUUGAAGUUGUUGUAAUUUAUUAACUUGCGUCAAACUUAGAAUGCCACUAGGAAGCAUAGAACUCAACUUAGAGAGCACAUCACAAGACCGGAAAUUUGCAUCCUUGUGACCAUGGACAUGAGUAUUCAUCUGCAUAGCAAGAUACCGUCCACAUUUGAGAACAACUUGGAUAUGGCCAACUUCAUCAAGAGCAUAAGAGAAGAAAAUUGUUCCUAUGAAAGAAAGAAGGUUGGUUGGAGUAGGGUGAGCAUGGUCCGGUUUGGACCGGUUUCAUGCUCAAACCUGAGCUGAACCAGUCCUAAACGGUUUGGUAUUUUUAGAAACCAAACUAUAUCAAUAGAAGAUUGAAAACAAACCAAACCAACAUGAUUUAAAUGGUCUGAUUUGGUAUGAUUUACCGAUUUAUAUUAUUAUUAUUAUUAUUACUAUUAUUAUUAUUAUUAUUAUUAUUAUUAUUAUUAUUUUGUGAUUCAUGAAGACUUGUUUCCUUUUACAUAAGAGUACCAUCAAGAGAAUUUAUCAAGUAAAAUGAUAUAAAUUAAUAUAAGAUAUUGUCACUCAACAAAAUGAACAAAAAUAAACAAUCUAGUAAGUAAGUCACUUAGGAUCUAAAGCUAAUCAACAUCAAACUAAAUUGAUAAACAACAUCAUAAAUUCAAAAUUGUUUUCUAAUACAUUAAUACUCUGACAUAAACAAACAUCAGAGCAAGAAUGGUAGGAGUGUUGCAACAAAUAUGCCAACGAACAUGCAACCAGCAUAUGGAUAUAAAAUACAUUUUCAGUUAAUAUAAGAUGUAUGAAAUCAAAUUUAUAAAUGUACGUUAAGAUUUUACCUAUGCAUUAAGAGAUACGAGAGUUGAAGUUUUACUUGCAGCAUCAAGGCUAAGAUUCUCACAUGCAUCAACCAUACCGGACAACAUAUCUAAGAUGGAAAAUACUAGCUAUUAAAAAAGUUGACCAAUAAUAUAGAGAAGCAUAAAUAAAAUGAAAAAUAUAAGCCAUUAAAUUUUACCCUUUUCGAUUCUUACCUAAUGCUCAGCAUCUUCAAUGGACUGUUUCUCAUCAAUAUGAAUCUUUGAUGAUUUUAACCAAUUUUGUGCACAGAUAAGUGCUUCAACCAUUUUAGCACUAAGAGAACUCCUAAAUGGGUCAAGAAUAUGACCGUCAAUACUGAAGGCUGACUCUGAUGCAACAGUUAUUAUCGGAAUGGCCAAUACAUCUCAAGCAAUUUGGGACAAGACUUUAAAUCUGAAUGCAUUUAACUUCCACCCGCUCAAAACAUCAAAGUUAUUAUCAUCAGAAACAACUGACUCAACCAAAUAGACAUCAAUUUCUGAUUUACCCUCCACACCAUCACUAUCUUGAAUAUGCUUCUUAAACAUCUCCUUUCUAAGAUUGCGAGUUUCAGAUUUAUCCUUCCUCUUAUCUUGCAUGGAAGAAAGAGAACUUUCCACUCCCAUAUCUUGUGGACCUAGACAAGAACCCUUAUAUUGUUCACAUAGUUUUUCGGGAGAUUUUCUAACCUGUUUGCACAAAUUUUCUGCAUAUUCAGAAUCAUACACAUUUGAAAAAUUAAAAGAAAGGUAAACCAUCUUGUAUCGAGGAUCAAGAAUACAAGCAAUAAACAACAAUAUGUUCAUACUUUCUGGCCAUCCCCAAUAUUUAUUAUAUUUUUCCUUCAUCCUCAAUAUCAUGUUCUUUACAAUUGAGUUAGAAUCAUCAUCCGCAAUCAUAGUUUGCAACUCAACAUGAAGUAAGGCUAAUUCUCCAAUAAACAUAUUUGAAGUCAUAUAAGUAGACCCUGAAAACCGUAAUGUCUAAUCAUAAAAGCUACUUAAAAUCUUGACAAUAACAUGUGCCUUAUCCCAAUCUUCAUGCACAAGAGGUCCAACUCUCUUCCCCUCCUCUAAAAAAUAUGAAAAAUAGUUCUCGUCAUCAUGUUCUAACCUUUCAAAUGCCUUUCACAACUUAAGGGCUGAUUCUAACAUCAAAUAAGUAGAGUUCCACCUAGUCAAACAAUCAAGAGGAACUAGAGCAUUUGUUGGUAGUUUCUCCCUCUUUGCACAUUCCAUAAAGAUUUGUUUCCUUUGGGUGGAAGAUUUAACAUAUUUCACAGCAUUGAGAAUACUAAAAAUGGUAGUGUUAUAAUCCUUCAACCCUCAUUUACAAUAAGAUUAAGAAUGUGCGCACAACACCUUACAUACAAAAAUGUAGUAUCCAUGAUAGCACCCUUCCAAUUCCUAAUGAUUCUUUUCAAAUAAGCAACAGCAAUUUCAUUAGCACUUGCAUUGUCAACGAUAAUUGUAAGUACCUUCUCUAUGCUCCACUCUAGCAAACAAGAUUCAAUUGCCCUCCUAAUUGUUUCACCUUUAUGAUUAGCAAGCGGACAGAAAUUAAUAAUCCUCUUAUGAUAUUUUCAUGCAUCAUCAAUAAAGUGACCAGUGAAAGCCAUAAAACUUACAUUUUGGUCCGAUGUCCAUGCAUCGAUGGUCAAACAAAGGCCUUGAGUACCCUAUGACAAAGUAUCCCUUAAUUUUUUUUUUCAUCUAAGGAUAUAACUGGAAAACAUCUCUACCAAUAGUAAAGCGAGAAGGAAUAUUGAAUUCAAAUAAGUUUGUCCUGAUGAAAUCAAUAAAACCCUCUCCCUCUACAAAACGAAAAGUAUGCUCAUCUUUCACUAUCAUCCUAACCACUGAAUCUCUAUAUUUUUUUUGAUCAAAAGCAUAUGCAACCAAUGUCCUUUUCCCUCUCUCCUCAUUCUCACUCUUACUCAUCAGUCCAACUAAAGUCUUUUGCUUUUCAUCAAUGUGCACAUUGUAAAGAAGUUACUUCUUACAUAGUUUAGUCAAGUGAUUAUGUAAUGUACUUGUACCAUUCACAGUCUUAUUAUAUGCAUGCGUCUUACCACAGUGAAUGCACUUACAUCAUGGAGGAUUGCUACCCUCAAUAGGAAGAAAAUGAUCCCAAACUUCAGAAGGUUUUCUGGCUAGCCUUCAUUUUUCAUGUUCAGAUUCAGAAAGCUUGUGUUCUGUAAGCUAUGUCAUAGUUAUAGAGUCACAAUUCUCACAAGAGGCGGAGCAAAUUUCGGUGCUCCUUUUCAUCUAUUGAAGGAAUAAUACAUCGAUCGGGUGCUUGGGAUUGCGAAUUUCGUUACUCAACCAACAAUAGCAACAAUAAUACAUCAUAGAGCCAAUUCCGUUACUCAGCCAAUAAUAACAACAGCAAAAAAAGAGAUCCAAUGAUCGAGUGACAGAGAGAUGACGAGACAUACCUUCACUAAUAGAGCAACGGCAAGAUGACGAGCAACGACGGUCGGAUGGAGAGAUAUGCAUGAGACGAUCGACAAAGAGUAGACCUUCACUAGGACGUGAGUCACAUGAUUCUUACAACGUGCACUCUAUCACUUGCCUAGAUAGUGAUGUAACAACCGAUGGAGAGUAGAGCUAUGAAAGUUACAUAACAAAGAACAAACGGUGGCCGAUGGAUAAGCUAAGGCACAAUCGUCACUCGUCGAGAUUGAGAAGUGAUCAAGUGAGGAUGAGAAUUGAGUGAAGGGCUCAAUCAUUCAUGGUCAUGGAAGCUCCGAAGCCGGGAAGGAAGGAAAAGAUUUAGUAAAACCUCCCCCCCCACCUUCUUUUAUUAAAACCGAUCCAAUUCAAACUUAAAAUCGAUCCAAUUCGAUUUAAAAAUAAUUUUAUUUACCGACAAAUCUGAACUAAUACAAAUCUAUUUUUUAUAUAUCAAAAAUUAAUCAAACCAAACCGAAUAAAAUUUUUAACCAAACUAAACCAUUUCACCAGUUUGAUUGGUUCAAGUUCAGUUUUUGCUCGUCCCUAAGUUGAACUACUGUAGCAACGAAUGCAAGAAAACAAAGCAACAGAAGUUACAUGGCUGAGAAUUGCAUCAGGCAGUAGACAACCAAGUGUCAUACAUGAUCAAAUCAAAUAAAGAGACACGUCCGGCAUGGUAAAACCAGCUCAUAAGGCAGAAAUAUGUAAAUGAUCCAAGCAGUGGAGCUCAGCAUAUCUUUGACCAAGCAGUGGAGCUCAGCAUAUCUUUGACCAAGCCAAAUUGGUUGAUCACCUAGAAGUAUUGCAACGAGAGAUUGUUACCAUGGUUCAUGAAAUAGUUAAGAAAAAGAUCAUUAUUUUGAAGUGAAGGACAAAUGUCUGGCAGCUCCACUUGUGCAAGGGCCAGACAACUUGAAAAGAGAAAUGGCUAGGUGACACUACAGAGGCAUGAAAAUCAACUUCUCAAAAUCGAGCUGUCAGCCUGAAUAAUUAUGAGAAUUAACAAAAAAAUAUCAGCCUGUAGUUUAGAGGUUACCCCCUGUGCACCAACAAAAACUACAAAGCUUUCCAUCAUUUAAAAAUCUCAGAAACAGAACUAGGAAACCAUCAACUUGGGGCAGCACAAACUUUCUUUGCUCAGGCCUUGAUGGACACGGUGACAACUGUACAUCUUAACAAAAAAAAAAAAAAACAUAGGAUGACAGGAUAGUCCCAAAAAAUAGCGACGCUAGAACAACUUCUGCUGCUUUUGCCAAGCUGCUUGACGCACCGAAGGAAAUCCUCAGUUUGAUGUAUUCUUCCUAGCAGCAUAAACCCUGUAAGCAGCCAGUCCCACAACUGCCACAGCAGCUCCAACUGCAACAGCGAACCACAACAAAAUUUCAAUAGAGGCAGCGCAUUCAGAAAAGAAAAUAAAUACAACUAAAGAAGAAAGCCCUCACCAAAAGAAAACGGCAACAAAAUACAAACUGCUUUAUUGGACACAUCAAUCAGCUGAUAAAUUAAAUUAUCAUGAGGUUCAACUUUAAAUGGUAAAUAAAUUACUUUUUUUCCUCAGGGAAACUAUCAAUUAUUGGUGAUGAGUAGAUAUGAAAAUGAGACUGUUUCUUAAUUUUACAUAUAAAUGAUUAGACAUGAAAAUGAGACUGUUUCUUAUUGGUAAUGAGUAGACAGGAAAAUGAGACCGCUAUGUAAACAUGGGACCAGGCAUGGUUUAUUGACAUCAAGAAACAGGUCUAUAAUCCUAUCUGAUUCACACUUAGUUUUAUAAUUCCUUCCUAUUAUCCAAGUCUCCUAAUCUCAAACCACUUUAGCAUGCUAAAAAACCCAUAGAUGGUGGCCAGCAUACCACAACAAAGUUAAUCCUAACCAGAGAUGGCUAGCUCUCGUAUGCUUAUGUUCUCUUGUAUUCAAUGUCAAGAGAUGACAAAUCAAAGUUCUAGAAAUGAGCAAAAGGAAAACAUGUUUUUAAAUUAUAAACUAAAUCAUAAGUAGAUAUUGAUCACAGCUUCACAUUGCAUGUGAUACGAUUUAACAGAAUAAUGAAUAGCUGUGCAGCAAAAGAAAAAAGUGACGCAUGUAUGCAUGUGCAUAAAGAGAACCACAUCCUCUUCCAAAUAAUAAUUAAAAAAAAGAAACAGAAAAAGAAAAAACAACUGUGCAGCACAUAUCACUUUCAAGCAUGGAGUCAGCAUCUUGGGAGAGAGAGAGAGAGAGAGAAAGACUCUUCUAAUAUAAUAAGGCCCUGUUUGGUAUAGCAGUUGGAGAGCCAAAAGAUAUUUUGGAUGAUUUUGAGGUCUUUGGUAAAAAUUUUGAAACGGUAAAAAUUUUGAAACAACUUUCUGCCCCCUAAAAAAAAACAAAAAAAACAAAAAAACUACAAGGGGAGGCUCCAAUUUGGAGCUCUUAGGCAAAAGCUCUACUUGAAAAAACAUGAGAAACUGUUUCCAUUUUAAUGAAGAUUCUGCUGAGACAUAGAUUAAUCUUUUUAUAAUUAAAAAAAUAUAAUAUUCUAAUAAUAUAAUAUUAUUAAUUACUAUAGUAUUGUACAUCAUAAUACAAAUAGAAACAUAAAUAUAUUUGACGAGCAAUGUAUAAUACAUAUAUAGAAAACAAAACAAGGUUUGAAAUAGCCCUACCAAUAUGCUAUGAACAGGUACAGCAUGGUAUCGUACUAACACAUGGUGUGCCAAUUGAUGCUAAUAUCGCAUUAGGAAGUUAUGUACCAUACAUUUGCAUGGACUAGUACUAACAAGCCACUAGUACAGAUACCUUGCCAGUAUGGCUAGUAUGCACCAAUAUUUAAAUCCUGGGAACAAACUCUAAUGAACCAUUAAUUGUCUAGAUGAAGAUCUGCAAAACAAGUACCAAGAACUUGACUAGUACAUUACCCCUCUGGUAGGAUAAGGUCAGUGUGGUAACAGAUGCAUCCUGUACGAUAGUCCUCCAACACUUUUCUUCACUCUCAGCCACACUAAUGCCCAAUUCUCGGUACAUUAUUGGUUCACUAUAGUAUGGCCGGGUACGGUGAAGUAUACAUCCCGUACAACAAGCUUUCCAACACUUCUUUUUACCCCCAGCCAUGGUACUACAUGAAACCAGGAGGUAUGGAAUGGUUCCGCUUGGUUUGGACCGGUACAGACCUGGCUCAUAUACCAAAAUGAACCUCAAUAUCUAGUACAGUACGGUCAGUACAAGAUGAUAUGGAUCAGUAACCUUGGUCUAGACUUUUUGUUUAUACAAAAGGUUGAUUGGCAAUUUAUCUAGCAGACAAAGACUAAUGUUUAGGCAGCAAACUAUGGCCAACUACUAUAGAAGAAAUUGUUUGCCAUUACAUACAGCAAAUGAUCAAGAUGGACAUGAAGGACACAUGGAAAUGGAUAUAAAGAGCAAACAUAUAAAAAUGCAAAAUACUUGCUAUUUACACAGCAUAAAAAGUUGUUUACAUUUUCAGAUAUUUCAUCAAUUUGGGAAUGAAAUUAAACGAUCAUGAACGCAGUUCUAAAAGGAGCCCCUAUUGAGAAUGACCAUAUAGAACAACAUACACAUUUAUAACACCAAAAGAAAUCAACCAACACUGACUAUAAGAAGGUAGCAUACAACAAAUUAACUUAUACAGUGAACAGACAAAUUUGUAUUAAAAGAGAAUUCCAAAAGAAUAAACAAUCAUUUGCCAAAUGUAAAAUUUCCUUCGUUACACUGCUAGCAGAAACCAGAUAAGGGACAGUGAAACUUGGGCAACACAUGUAGCAUUACAUUUUCAGGGACAUGACAUCAACUGGGCCCUACAGAAAAUUUCUAAGUUUCGUGGUAACAAUAAUAAUAUUGCUUUUUCAAGGUCACAUAAAUCGUCAAGUCACAUGACUUCUAUGGUUAACUUAUUAAUAAGUUAGAAAUCUGAAGAAUAUAACUAAUACCAACAGAUAUAUCACCUAAUUUUUUCCUGAUGUAACGGACUCAAAGAAUUUUAGUAGAUGUGGUUUUGCAUAACCAAACAUUACCAUGCAAAAUGAAUAUUUGCUAGCUAUGGUAGGUGUUCCAUGAAGAUAACAAUACCUGAAACAAACAUGAGGGAACGAUUUACAAGCCGGCGAUAGUGCUUGCGGUUUCUUCCAGCUUCAGUUUCAGGAAUGCUCAGAUGGGGAUGCUGUGCAGCAGUAACUAUUCUAUGGAAUACAUUAUUGAGAUCUCUUAACUUUAUGCUGAUAGGUAUAGGUGUCUCUAUUCCCAUCUCCUGGCUUACCUGAAGCAGAAUAAGUGAAAAAAGGUGCAUUUAGCAGAUCAGCGAAAUGCAGACCACAGAAGCCAAGAAGAUCGGUUAUUUACUGAAGGUGCGCAAUUAAGUAAACAGAGAAGAGUAAGAUCAGUGAGAGAUACCAGCAUGAGAGCUUCCAGUGCACUAUUCAAAAGUCAAAAGAAAAAAAUGUUGGAACAAAAUUCAGCAUAUUAAAUGUAAGUAACAACGAACAACAUCAAAAUGACAACCACGUGCAUGGUUGUGUGGUGGAAAUAGAAAUAACCUCUUAAUCUGUAUAAGGCAAACAUUCUACAGGUACCAUUUUAAUAUUAGUUUAAGCAAUACAAACUAUGGCCUCGAGAAUAAACAUGGAUAAAGUUGUGAUUUUCCACAUAAGAAGGCAGAAUAAAAACAAGACUUCAAGAUACAGUCACAAAUUACAAAUGCCAAAGGAACCAAGAAACAUAACAUACCCUUGUCAAAUCCUGUAUGGCCAAGGGAUAUGGAUCAAGAUCAUCCUUAGCAGAAACAAUAAGGCAAGGAACCUCAAAGCCAGUAUUUUCUCCAUGACUAGCAACUUGCACAAGCAAAUCUUUGGCUUUCCUCCAUGAAUUCUCAUCCGAACUGCAGAAACAAGAAAGCACACAUCAUGAGCAUGCUAUGCUACAAAUGGACUUGCAAGAAAUAGAAUGAUUCAAUAAUUACUAGAAAAGAAAUAAUUGGGAAUUUAAUGUCGAAAACCUAGAUCUCGAGGCAAAAGGGGUACCUUACUAUUAGUUUAAGUACACAAAUUAGGUCAGCCCAUAUGUGGAAGAAUAAUAACAGCAACACAUGCCAUAUGAUGUAGCAAGAGAACUCUCUGAAGUUUAGGAACCACACAGCCAUGAAAUGGGCAACAUGAAAUACUUAUUGUAGAAUAUACAAUAGUCUGUAGCGGUGACUCAGUGUCCCAAAAUUUCAUUUUUUGUGAUCCCUCGACAAGAAACAAAUCCAGCAUAAUAUUGGUCACCGGUAUACAGUCAAACAGCACACACACACACACACAUGCAAGCACGAACGUACACAAAGACCCGUCAGCUAAGCUAGCAAACUUCCUGAGAAGUAAACACUUCUGUCUUCUCCUCGAUGAAGUGACAAUCUUCUUCACUUUGAAUACUUCUCCAAUGAACAAUUGGAUAUAUUUGCAAUAUAUACAGCUUGAUUAUUACAAUGCAAACUCGGUGAUUUUUCAACCAUGAUCUUUAACUCAGCUAGAAGUGAUUUAACAUGAACAGUUCCCACAAUACGUUGCCAAUGCAAGAUACUUGGAUUCUACAUUCUACACUAGAACUAAUUGAAUGCUUUUUCUUGCUUCUUGAUAAUACCAAUCAUAGUUCUCUAUCAACAAAGAGCUGAAUUUGCAUCAGGAAACAUCUCAACACAAGAUCAUUUUUGCCUUUCAUAUAAUGUGCCUUGGAAAGGAGCCUUCUUCCAAUAUAGCAGAUAUGUAUCAUUGCAUCAAUAGAUCCUUGCAUGGCAAAGCCAUCUUUGGAUAUCGUAAAGUAAAAAUGAAGUGCUCAUAUAAAAAGAUGUCACAUAGAGCUCGUUGACAUCCAUUUAAAAAAAUAAGAAAGAAAUGGUGAUAACCGAAUAAGGUUUAGGAGCAAUCUCAAAUAUUUAGGAAGGAAUCUCGAUAAAGAGGUUAAGGCAAAGAAAUAUGGAGAGAUCAGCCUUAUGAAAUACUUCAGGAUGAAGUAAAACCUUAAAGUUGUCAAAGUUAAAACAGUCCACUACAUAUCAAAAUUCAGAAAAUUGAUUUUUGCUUUGGUUUAGGAAAAUGGGUUUCCAUUUCAGCAUCUUAGGUUAUUUUGGUUGAAAUUUUCAAAUUAAGGAACAACUAAAAUUAAGAACAAAGGAGCCAGAAAUAAAAAUAAAUUUACUCAAGAAAAGAACAAAUAUAACUAAAAAUAAUAUUAUAUUAUUUGGGACCUUAAGAUGUAUAGUUUUGCAGUAGUGCACUAGGACAAUCAUAUAAAAUAAUUUGCAAACUAUAAUGUCAAAGAUCAUGUUUGGACUAAAAUAUAUCAUUUCACUUUUUGAUGGCCAUUCACCAUAUAAAAAUCUAGAUGUUUAUAACAUCUAAAGUUAGAAUUGAUCCAAUCCGAGAGAGAAAAUUUCUUUCAACCUGCUCAACUUAAAUCUCUUAAAAGAAAACUGAAAAAAGAUGGAAGAAUUGCAAAAGUAGGGCUUAAAUUUUCUUUUCUUUCAUGGAUUAAUUCUCCACACAAACCAAAGUACAUAUCCCCUAUUUAUCAUAGUGAGGUCUGCCCUUGCACAUUUCAAAUUAGAUUUCUCUUUCUAGGUUUUAGAAGGACAUCCACCCUGGGAUGUCUUUGAACAAUCUGGGUCGGAUUCCUCUUCCUAAUUCAAAUAGGACUAAGCCCCUAAAAAAAAUGAUUAAUAUAAAAAAUCAAGAAAAAAUACUAAAAUUCCAUGGAAGAUAGAUCUUGAUUUUUAUAUCAAUUUUAUCUUCUAUUAUUCCACCUAAUUCUUCAUGGAUUUGAAGAUAACCUCCGAUCAAAGUUUUUUCUGAAAAAGAAAUUUUUAGUUUGACCAACCAGAUUUAAGGCCUAAACAAUGAAUUUUGAUCCGAUUCAGCCCGUUGGGGGGUGGCCCAAAGUUAUAAAUCUUAAAAAGAUAUCCAUUUUUUUUUAAAAAUAUCAUCUCAAUCAAGAAUUGUGUGAUCAAAUUUUGGCCACCUAAAGUUUAACACACGGUUUGGCAAACUAAUGUGGUGAAUCUUGCUCCUAAACCCUAUCCAACCCUAUUCGUAGUGGUCAAAAUAGUCCAUAUUGAGUCCUUAUAGGGACCAAACUGAUCCACAUUGAGUUUGAUGACCCUCUUGGAUACCCGUAGUACUAAAAUAACCCAUAUCGAGUCCUGCUUGUGGCCAAAGUGAUCCACAUCGAGUCUGGUGUUCCUCCUGAAUAUCUGUAAUGGCAAUGAUGCACAUCAAGUUUAGUGAUCCACAUGGAUCAAGAAUAGUGAGAGCAAUACAUUCUUUGGGCAUUGCAAUGCUUCCAAAUUUCUCAAAAACUUACAAAAUUCUAUGUUUAAUCUAGAGAAAAUAAUUCAUUAAGAAAUGAAGAAAAGGCAAAAACAUGGCAUAAACAGAUCAUGAAUACAAUGACUUUGGCCAUAUAGGUUAGUUUCGGCCAAAACUCCAAGACCAACUCCAACUUGGCCACAACCAAAUCCAUGAUACAUAAGACUGAUGGCCUUAUAACUUAUCAUCAAUAAGUUAUUGCCUAGUAACCUACAACAAGGUUGUCCUUAAAAAUAUGGUGUAUAAAAAAGGGAAAAAAUAUGAGAGAUAAUGAAACAUAUUUAUGGAUUCAUGAAGUGUUUUAGAAAAAUAAUGGUGGUGGAAGAGAGAAGCAAAUAUAAGAAACGAAAGGGAAAUUUUGCCAACCUAGCAGGUUAAGACAUGAUGACUCUAAUCUAAUUAAAGUAACCAACUAACAAGUUUUGCUUGUUAUAGUGGCUAUUCACUAGCAACCUAUUAAACAAUGUAAAUAGAUCCCGAACCAAUCUCGUAGAGCCCAAUUCCCAACAAAAGAAAAAAAAAAGAGAAGAAAAAAGCCACUCCUUAGUAGCUCACCAUCAUGUGAAAUGACAUAAUGCAGUCCAUUCCCAUGUACAAAAGUAGUUUACCUAGAAGCAAUUAAUAACAACCCAAGAUCUCAUCCAAAAAGACUCGCCAGAAGAUGUUAUUCAGGUUCCUUGGCCCUGUACAAGUGCCUAAGAUCUACUUGGGCAUAGCUGAUGUAAGACUAAAUACAUGCUUGCACAGAUCCUCAUAUACUCUCUCAGUUCAAGCGCCGACAUGCUCACCAAGCUAGGAUACCAAAUAAAUUCAUAUCCGAUCACAAAUAUUGUAAAUCCAAUCACAAACACCACAACCAACUCAUGGUCAAUCCAAGUAAACAUGUCCUAUAAUGUCUCCUAGUCAACAUGGGCCAUGAACUAAGUCUACUCUGAUACUACUUGUAAGAACCCAAGAUCUCACCCAAAAAGACUUGCCAAAAGGUGUUGUUUACGGUCCUUGGCCCUAUACAAGUACCCAAAAUCUACCCAAUAUAUGGCAAUGUGGGGCUAAACACAUGCCCACACAAGUCCUCAAAGAGUCAAUGCAAAUAAACAAAUACCCGUUAAUAGCCACGGAAUGACCACCUCGGCACGGAUUAUUUGACUACGAUAGACAAAACAAAUGAGGUGACUGGGAACUUAAUUAUGAGAGUAGAUUAGCUUAUUAUUCAUCUAUAUCUAUGUAAAUUAUCAAAAGGUGAUCCUCUGUUGCCAACUUAAAAUUGGGAUACAUCUAAAUACUGUCUGAACAGAAACUGGUAUUGCAAACACUUACACUACUCAAGCUCACCACUCUAGAGAAUAUAUGGCAAUUAACCUAUCAAACAUACAACAUGAAAACAUACAGUAAGAUGGGCAGGUUUAGUACCUGUCAUGAACAAAUACAGCUAUGUCACAAGGUGCUAAGGACUCCUUAUUAGACAGCACCAUUUUGACGUCAUCUUCUGGUACCUCCCGCAUUACUAGUGUCUUUUUUAUCCCCUUAAAAAUGAAAUCAAAUCAUGUAAUUAGAUAGAGAAUAGAACCAAAACUCCCCUAGUGCAGCGGAAUGACAUGCAAGAGACUCUUUAAUGCACUCAUUAUAUUACAAUGUAUUCUAUAUGCUAUCCUUUAUGCCAUGCAAAAGAUUCAGUCAUGGACUUGAAGCAUCUCACUACCAGAAAAUAUAUCAUCAUAGAACAUAUCAGACAGCAACUCAAGGGCAAAAUCAAUGUAAACAGAUCAUAUGAACUAUUUAAAGUUUUCAUGCACAUAAAAAGAAAACUGGUUUCAUGGGCACCAUCUGCAUGAAUAGUAAGACAAUAGAAUGCUGAAAACCAGGAAGAAUUUAAGCUAGAAAUAUUAUUACUAACUUAGACCAAAUUCAACUAGUGGCAGUCAAAACCUCUUAACAGUUUAACAGUUAAUCUACAUAAGAAACUCAUCUACAGCUCGAAACUAAUGAUACAUUCUAAGUCACCUAUGGCAUUUGUGUUGACAUCACUAGAAUGCACCAAUAGGUAUCUUUACUCAUAAAUACAUAUCAAAUACAAUGUAAUUAAUAUAAUAGAGUAUGCUAAUCUUGAAAGUAACAUAAUAAGCAUCCAGAAUUUGUGGAGUAGGUGCUAAGAUGCUCCAUCAAUCAAGGCAGAAAACUUAAUGUUAUGACUCAACAGAUACUAUUACAACAUAUGGAGAUCUCCAGUGACAUCAUAUUUAAAGCCAUAAAAUUAACAAAAUAGUUUCGGUAUUCACAUAAAGUUGCACGAUGCUGAGGAUGGUAAUAAAAAAUAAUCAGCAAUGCAACUAGUUGAUCAAUUGCUUUUUUUUUUUUUAAAAAAAAUCUCAUUAGCAUUUCUAAUAUUUUAAUAUUAACAUUUACAAUAACUGUACAGUAAAAUGAAAUUAGUAACAAGUUAUCUUAGAUAAUAUUUCCAGCUGCUGGGCCUGAUAACAACAAUCACAACUACUGUCAAAACUGAAUUUUUCAUGUUUUAAAGGAGCAUCUGAUUAAGUUUUUAGAAAAAAAGUUAAAUCUAAAAAGGUUCAAAGAAAUCUAGUCCAUUUAAAAAUCCCCAAAGUCUAAAUUUUUUAAUUUUAUACCCAUGAUUAUGAGUCCAUUAUCUCACUAUUACGUAACAAAGGAAAUACAUUCAAAAAUAGAGAAAACUUAGACUACAAAUAGAAAUUUCCCCAAAAAAAAAAAAAUUGUUUGCAAACUAUUGAUUAACCCUGCACAAUGCUAUGGAUUAUAAUUUAUGUAUACAGUGCAUGCUUCAAUAUGAUUAGAAAUUCAGAUACAGGAUGUGCAGACGUUACAAGGUUUUUUUUCCAAAGGACACUAUCAUCGUAUAUGCAUGACAACAUGUUGGACAAACACACAACCAAAAGAACAUUGGACAACUCCCAUGGUAUAAAUUCAAAUUAUAAGAACAAACUUUGUACUUGAUGCAUUACACCAGAUCUGUUCAUACCAUAUAAACAUAAUUUUUAACCUUUGUGCUAGCCAUCAUUGCACUGGCUUAAAAACCAAGAGGUUUACCCAAUUUUUUUUUGAAAAGUAUAUAACAGAAAGCAGGCAAAGUACAUAUAAGUGCUGUGGUAGGGCAAAUGCAUCCUCAGGGCAAGAAAGAAGUAAACUGAUGUGCCAUUUUCAGUAUGGAUCCUUAUACCAAAAGCUAAUGUUUAAUGAGAUUAUAGGUAUCUUGGAAUAUUACAGGACAAAAACAUGGAAUAUGAAAAAUAAAGUACAGUAUGAAAUGGAGUAGCUAAAGAAUAUGCUAAUCUAUGAUUCUUGAAACAGAGAGCAUAUGGAAAGAACAGUUCCAAUUUUCAAACCAGCUUAGAUUGAAAAUAUCUUCUAUCUAGGAAAGGCCCUAAAUAGUUAAGCACUAGACCUAACCUACUUUCAUCAGCAAGGAAGAAUCCCUGAUAAAUGUUAGAGAACUCAGAGCAAGUUGAUCUCCAUUUCAUGGCGCUUUCCAAUGCAGUUUCAAUAAUUACUGUUUUCUAUUAUCUCUAAUACUAAGAUCUUAGUGGACUGCAUACUGAGAUAUCUCACAUCACUAUGUGUUUUACAUUAUCACCAACAAAUAAAUCAUAUUUGUAGAAUAAUAUAUUUUUUAUUUAUAUAGAAAUAGUUCUACAUUCACACUAAGUUUUUUUUUUUUAAUUUCCUUUAUUUUUAGUGAUUUUAAACUAUUUUUUAGAUUUAUUUUUUAUAUUUCCAUAUUUAACGCAUAUAAUCAUUUGGGCUUGUGCUUAAAGACAAAUACGAAAAUCACUUCUGAGAAAGGAUAAGAGUACGUAUUGGGACAACAGUUCCAAAUGGUUAUGCGGUGCAUCAUGCUUUAGUAUCUGCCUGUACAUAGAAAUGCAAGAAUAGAAGUGGCCUCAGAAAGCAAUUUAAUAUGUGGGAAAUAUACACAUAAAAAUUAGCAUAUCCAUGAUAGUAUCAUAACCAUUUUAGAGAACCAAACAAAAAAAAUCUGUUCUUGUAAAUAUGGUGUUCAAAAAUUAAGUUACUCAAAUAUAAAGCAUGAGUUAUGUAACAUGUUUGGGUGGGUGAAAAGAAAAAAUAAGGGUGGUUGGGGAGUCCCAGGUGACAUGUAUAAGAUAAUCAGGGAAAAAAUCAAUAAUGUUUCUGCACCAAGUCAUACUUACUCCUGGCAGUUCUACAAUAUUUGCUGCAAACCGCUCGCUGGUUGUUGGUGUGUAUUUCUCAGGGAAUGUUCUAAACAUAAAAAGUAGAAGUCAAAAGCAAUUACAGAAAAGACCAAUGCCUGAAUAGAUAGAAGUAAUUAAACUUGAUGCAAUUUUCAAGAUAACAAAAUGAAGACAGGUUAAACUAGAGAGAAUCUGGAAGAAACUUACCUCCCUACAAGUGCAUUUAACAAUGCAGAUUUUCCAGCAUUUUUAGGACCAAAGACAAAGCACUGAAUAACAUUUCUCUGGGAUUGUUGCCGUUUACGGUCCAACCUCCUUUUUCUGGUUAUAUGAAAUGCUGAAGCAGCAUCGCCAGGGUAUCCAAUGUAUAUCAGAUUAGCAAGACUACCUGCUGGGUCUAGAAGUGUCAUGAGGGCCCACUGCAAUUGCAAGGAUUUUACUUAGUAAAUGAGCGACAGAACAAAAACUUUCAAAGUUCCAAGUUUUAAUGGGAAAAAUUACAAGACAAUAAUAUGGUAAGUGUAUAAUCAAAAUGAAAGCACUUUUAUAGCACAAAUUACAACCAUUAGCAGUACUAAGUACAGCUAAACUUCAAUUAGAUGUAUCAUGUAAUUUAUCAGUGCCAGAAACCAAUGAAACUGUUAGUUUUUUUUUAAAAAAAAAAAAAAAGAAACCACUUUACCCUCUGACUCUGUAUUAAAUUUAUUUAUCUCUGGUUCCAGGCAUUUAAAAGUUUAAUUAACUUAAAUAGAAAUAUUCAUGCUUGUGAUUACAUAUACAAGUUUGAUUACCAUACAGUGUUCAGGAAAACUAAGUCAUCGUGACAGUAUUUAAUUAAAAUGUGCUAAACAGAAAAAAAAAAAAAAAAGAAUAUACAGCUAACCAUAUAUAGUUAAUUCAAGGACUAGGAUAAAAGAUUUGGAAGCCAAAUGAAGCACAGCAAGACAUUUAGCCAAACGUCCAAAAGAAGGGUUUAAAUCUCAGCACCAAACCUUAUCUCAGUUUGCUACUGAGACAGUACAGAAUCCAGAUGAGACAAUACUGUUGGAACAGACUGAAGCUCAUUAACAGCCAAAAAAAAAAUGGUUUCACAGUCCAUUCCAAAUGUCCCCAUGCAUCCAAGCGUUGGGAUGCAACUGGGAUAGUGGGAACAUCCUGAUUCAAGAGGAAACCAGUGUCUUGUGUCCAUCCCAAGUAUCAUUAUCUUCCUGGAUCGGUACACUGUACACUACUGGCAGGAUGCAUCGAUACCAUAGGGACAUGAAACCUUAGUCCCAACCAAAAGACAUUCAGUUGAAAAUGGUUUUUAAUGCGUAAUCAUAGCUAAUUUCUCUGUCUUCUUUCAAUGUAUUCAAAUUCCCAAAAGUUCUUCCUAAAGCUUAAACCUAGAUGGCUUAUAAUGCAAUAUUAAUUGUACAUAUAGGUAAUUUUUCUGUCCUCUUUCAAUGUAUUUAAAUUUCCAAAGUUUUUCCUAGACAUUAAACCAAGAUUUUGAAAGUCCAGAAAAUUCAGAAACACCUGGACAAUUGGAUCCAAAAAAUAGAGAAGUAAUUUGUUGACAUGGUUUUGGCUAUCCUACAACCCAAUAUAUAGACAUUUAAUUGCUCUGUGUUACAUUGUCACAAAAAGAAAAAAGAAGCUUAUACUAAAAAUUAUUGUGAAAAUUGAUUUUCUAAUUAUUUCAUUGCAAAUACAUAACAUUUUAUUGUUUCAUCAGGAAUAAACCAUAUAUCCCAAAGAACACGAAGAUAUUUUGAUGCCUAAAUGCCUAAUUUAUUUUCUUGACUUGCUUUAUUGUUCUUUACCUUUUCUUCUUUUUUGUAGAUCUUGACAAAGUUGGGCAAGUAUCAAAUCUGGAGCUGAACUGAAGAAACUGGAACUAAUUGGCUCAGCUAAUAGCCACAAGAGAAACUGAAGCUAAGUUUUCAAGCGUUGGAUGGAAGAACUCAAUAAAAAUGAAGCUAUUAGAGAAAGAAUGGUUGUAUAUGAUAGUAAAGGAGCUUCCAAGCUUCCAGUAUGCAACAUGAAUAUGACGUGCCAAAUGCAAUACCAGUACAUUACCAGCAUAAAAACACAAGCAUAUUCAAUGUUAAUGUGGACCUAGAACUGGCAGCCAGAUUAUGUGUUAUAUGUUACAUAUUUAUUUAAUAUAUUUGUCCUGUCGAAGACACAUUAAAUAAAUAUGAUAUUAAAGAUCAUUUUUAAGAACUCAAUGAGAUAAAGUUGAAUCUGAACAGACAUUGAUCAAACACAGCAGAUUCUUCCUUUCAUGACAAGUCAAAGCAUCAGUACAAAUGCAUACCUUCCUACAUAUUAAUUUAUCGGCUAGCAUGAAAGUCCAUAAGAGCAUUUAAGAGGUUUGUUAAACAGAAGGUCUGAAAAUUGUAAUGAUUCAAAAGAAUCCAUUUUUUACUAAGCUCGAGAGUUAACAUGUUAUUUAGAACAACGCAUAUUAAUUAACACAUAAAGAACUCAAUCACCAAACUUGCUGCAUAGAAGAGCAUAAAAAAAAGGCAUAAACUAAACCACCACAUAUACAAGAAGUGCAUGCUUUUUCAUAGUUUUCACAGGAGAUUAUAGCUUAUUUUUUUAGAAGAUCUUCACUAGAUUUUGCAAACAAGCUGCAUCAAUUAACAGAAAAUCUAUUAAAAAGAUAAAUGUUCGAGCUUUCAAGCAAUCAUAAAACAAGUAAAAAUUACAUCACCAGGACAGGAACUAUGGAAGAAUGAAAUAAAAACUGACGUUCGACUUAAGGCUAUAAAGACAUUUUAUGUGCAUUAUCAUGCCAAAGGUAAUCAAUAGUGAGCACCUCGGAAAGAAAUCCUUCAAGUGACAAUCCUCCUAGCACGUUCUUUUCUGCAGCAUCCUUGUAAGGAGCUUCAGACCAAGGGCUGUAGCAGAUAAGAAAAUCAUAAGAAAACUACAAUCAAGAAUACAUAGAGUUGGAUAACUAAAAUCAAGAACAUAUAGAGUUGGCUAAAAAUUAAACAUGUGAACAGGCACUUAAAACAGUAAACCAGAUUAAUCAAUUUUUUCAUGAUUUUAAAGACAAUAUGUUUCCAUUGACUUCUAAGUAUAGCAAUUUUUACACCAAUUACUGCUGCGAACAUCAAUUGUAUGAAUAGAUCAUAACAAAUGGUGAAAAAAGUGGCUUCUAUAUGAGAAGUUCCUACAUCUAUAAAUACAAGGUGAAAGAGAAUUAGCACCAAAUACACCUUACAAUGUGGCUUCUCCUAGUCAAAGAUAAACUAAAUGGCAACUUUUAUUGUCAAGUAACAAAUGCUUGCAGACGGUGACUUGCUUACAGUAAACAAUGAAACUAGGCAGUCCAUACAAAGCAAAGAAAAAAAGAAUAAUAAAUUAGCUUCUACUUUGAGAGAACAGUAUUUACCUCUCUGGUGCAGUUGAAAACAGAUCAUCAAGUUCAGCAGGUCGCAGAGCCCCAUCCUGUUAGCAAAAAAUACAAACAGCCAGAACAGGAAACUAUUAGGCACAGCAUAAAAAGCCCAUGGAUUUCUGCAGCUUUAUUAAGAUCAGAUUAACAAUCCCCCCCCCCAACCACACUCCCCCCCCCCACCCCAAAAAGAGACAGGCAUGCAUAUGCAUGAAUACUGAAAUAACAAAACAAGCAACAGAUUGCUAAAAUCCAACCUGAACGAGAAAUGCAUUAAGCAUAAGAAAGACUAAAAGUCCUUGAAAAGCCAAAACCAUACAAAGCACUGAAAUUAUUGGCUUGUUGGAAAAAAAAACACUGGCUUUUUCAUGCUUUAAUUUGAAACAAUUAUCUCAAUUGAUCUCUCCAAUUAUUAAUUAACAAGAAGGCAAAAAAUUUCUGUGCUUCUUGGAUACAGGAAACCAAUAAACAUGUGGGAAUUCAGGACUUUGAGUUACUUCCGAGAGUGAAAAUGUUCUUUGGCAAGUGGUGGCCAGAAAGAGCUUUAUGGCUUGAAAACGUAAAGCAGUCAAAGUUUCACAAAAUUGUCAGUGAGAGAAGCAGCAAAUGUUCCAGUUUCUUUCUUCCAUUUGUUGACUCAGGAUGUAAUAUAAUUACCAAAAAUAAAUAACUUUUGAAACAUUACAGCAGCAGUCAAUUCAGCACUUUUGACAAAGCAUAAUGACAAGAUUUACUCCACAGAUUGUGUAGGAAAUAAUUCAUUGUAAUUGGAAGAUGGCAUUACCUCACAGCAAAAUAAACAACAAUCUGGCAGAAGCCUAGAUGCAAAGCUGAUAACCAAAAAGUUUAUGUAGAAGAUUGCUAAUAUAAGAUAUGAUGAAUAUACAAAGGGGUUCAUGCAAUUGGAAUAUUAGAGGAAUAGGUAAGGUUUAGAUGAAGAAGCUCUCACAAGAAAUAUGUCAAGUCCAGAGUUUACCUUGGAGGUUUGUGUUAACUAUUAAAGAAACUAUCUGAUUCUACAAUAUAAUAGUUAUCAAGUUAAUUGCUAACAAUUGAGCAAGUAAGUUUACUUGGUUGACUUCUGCAAUUGACGAGUAUGGCACAAGAAAAAAAUGAAAACAUAUGGUGGCCUAUAAUCCUCUAAAGGAACAGAAGGAGAAAACUGCAAGGAAUCAAUAACUAUAAGAUCUAGAAGAAGAUCUCAAUUGUCCUAUUUGAUUGCCAAGGUUCACAUGAUUAGCUGACAUUUUGAAUUAGAUCAAUGAUAAACUUAUUGAUGCUCCUCUAAAAGAUCAACUUUCUGCUUGGACGCUGUGUUACCUGGCACUCACAUCCACACGCAUCAGACACUUGGACACUUUAUUAAGGUUUUUUGAUCCAAUAAUGAAUUUAAUCCCCUAUUUUGAUGUUAGGAGUGAGUAUUUAUUCCUUUUAGAUCAAGUAGGAAGUGAAACAAAUUUGCAAAAUAUUAUUUUUCUUAUAUCCUUUAUUCAGUCGAGAUGUUUGAAUGAGAAACAUGCAUGUUGAAAGAUCUUAACAAAUAAUAUAUUUUUAGUUUUUUUUUUAGCAUUUAAAUAAACAAAUAUACCAAGGGGUGUGUGUGCGUGUGUGUAAUUUAGUUAAAAUUAUAUGUUAAUCUAAAUAUCCCCAUAUCAUCCUUCCUCCCUCUUGUCGAGUCAGACACUUGAAUAUGCAUCUAAAUCCAAUUCUUGUAUCUGUGUCCAUGAAAAACUACCUCAACAAAUCUCAGGAAUAAUUCAUCCUCACUCAAAUAUAGAGGUUCUUGAUCAUGAUCUACUAAAUUGAAGUUAUUCUUAUUUUUUCAGAUCUUGAUAAGACAUGUGUUUUUUUAUCAUGCCUUCAUCAUCCAACUGAUAAAAAGAUACUAGCUAACCAUGCACCUUUGAGAUCGAGAACAUGUGGUUCAUGUUUUGUAAUUUUUAUGGAAUAAUAAAAUAUUGGGGGCAAGGUCCGCAGAACCAAUACCAAGACCCGUGUCGGCCAGCAGUUCAAGUCCAUAACGGACCGAACAACGCGAACCAACAUAGAAGCAAAGAAAAAAAUCAGGAAGCAGGAAAAGAAAGAAAGUGGGGAGGGAAGGGGGAGGGAGAAAGAGGGUGGCCGGAGGAGAUGCCGGCGGUGGGCACAAGCGGGCCGUGGACGCGCUCGAAGGACCAAGGCCUUCGCUUCCUCUGCCAAAUCGCAGCCGAAGAGAGAGAGAUAAAGAGAGGGGGGAGGGAAAGGAGGAAGGGAGAGCCAACGAAGAGACCGUCGGAAGGCCUCUGGCUGUCAUGGCUGUCAAAAGGCAAAAUUGCAGUCCGCAGCUCUACGAGCAUAAAAUAGAAGCGAUCGCCCCUGUUGUGAAGUCGGCAAUAGAUUUGCCGACUUCACUUAAGUCAAGCCGGCACAUCUAUUACCAGCUUCACUAUUUUUUCGAUUUUUUUAAAAAAUUCUUGAAACAGUGAAGCCAGCAAAUUCAUUGUUGACUUUAUUAUUCAUCAUCAUUUUAAAAAAAGUGAUAAACAAAAGAGGUCACCCCCAUUCCACAGCCGCAGAUCCGCCCGCACCUUUUCCGAAGCCCGAUGGCCACAACGCUUGCCUGAUGCCCUCCGACGGCCCCUCUACGAACUAUGCCUCCCUUUUGUACCCUUGCUCCCCCUUUCUCUCUCUCUCUCUCUCUCAAUUAAAUACUCUAUCGAGCAACAUAGAGCCAUGGAGGCCUCUGCUGCCCUCCGACAGCCUCUACAAGCCACCACCGGCCCUCUAAUGGUGUCGUCCCCUCUUCUCUCUCUUUCUCUCUUUCCCUCUUCCUCAUUCAGUAUUUCGAUUUAGAAAGCCAAACCAUCCCAAUUUGAGGCCGAUAUGGCUUGGAACACCCCGAACCGCCCGAUUCGAGAUAGUUUGGCAAACCAUGACUGGGGGUGCAUCUGUCAAGCUAGCAAAAUUUGAUCAAGAAUAGAAAAAGAACUCUUGUCUAUCAAAAAUUAUCGCAAAUGUGUAGUGAACAUAAUUUGGAUCAGUCAAGCUACAGUUAUGGAAGCCAUUUUCUAGGACACAAAGCCUGAUGAAGAAAUUUCUCUAACAUAAGAAACAAAGCAUAUUGCUAUAUGAAUAAGUUGUAAAUAUUAUAGCUUUGACUUGUUAAACAUAUAAUUACAUCAUAUAUCUAAGAAAUCAGUAAAGAAUUGAAAGCAUACGAAUUUGGCAGCAGAAUUCUUUAAGCUAUGAGAGAAAUUAUAAAACUUUUAGUAGAAUUUUUAAAUAAAGCAGAAAAUCAUGUAACUUUUGGAGAGGGAGAUAGAUAUUACAAGACUAUGAGCAAGAGGGAGCUUUUGAUAUUAUCUAGGAAAAAGAAACUAUAAAGUAAAUCAUACUUUGUCAAUAUCAAACACGAAGAAAAUUCCUUUCAAGAACUCCACAGCUUCAUUCGUUAGCUCCACACUCUACAAAAAGAUACAAAAUAAAAAAAUGAGCAUCUGUCUCAUGAAUCCUAUGCACAUUUAUCAUAGUAAUAAGAGCAACUAUCUUCCUCCCUUCUUUUCAGGAAUUUCAACAAUUAGGGCCAAAGAUUCACCCAUAAGGGCCUGAGUAUGAUAUUUGACCUUAUUUCAGAAUCAAUGUUUUGUUUUCUAUUUUACAAUAACAUAUUAAAUCAAUAUGUAUCUUUUUUUAAGCUAGUGCAUAAAUAUUGGAGAAGCAUAGAAUUUAAAAUAAACAAAUUUGACCAGGAAAAAUUAACAGUUUCUCGAACUGACAAUGUAUAAUAACUUUUGAAAAAGUAAUAUAACUCCAACUUGGCUGGUUGAAAUGAAGGGGGUCCAAGUGCACAAUAUCUUGUUUCAUCCUAGAAUUACUAAUCAGCAUUAUCAUCAAAUAACUUGAAAAUAAGCUGUUAUGUCACCAUUGUAAAGUGCUAACCUGGUUAUUUUUACAAAGUAAUUGUGCCUUGCCACAAUGACCUAUCUCAUCACCUCAAAGUCUAAAACAAUAAAAUAAUGUUCAAACAUGUGUCCUCAACUUAAAUAAAAGUUUAACAGCACAUUAAAAAUCAACAAGAUUACCUGAUCAGGGGCUCGUUUAAAUGUUAAUGGCAGGAGAUCAUCCCUAAGCUUAAUAUCAUUGUCAUAUCCAAAUUUUCUUAACACCGUCCACGUCGUUUCAAGACGGCCUUUUUCUAUAAAAAGUGCAUGGAGGAAAAGGAACCCAGUCAAAGUAAGCCCAUGCUCAUUAACCCCUUCAGGCAUCUUCUCUUGCACAACUUUCUUGACACCCACAAUUUCAGAAGGCUGGAGAGGAGAGUUAAAGCAUUUAACCUGAACAAAUAUUACAAGGCAUUCAUAGCAAAAGCGGACCAAGGAAAAUAUUCAGCAAGAAACAGUCAACUGGCAAGAAGUCAAAAAAUAUAUAUAUAUAAUCUUAAAGACGAACAAGCAAAUGCAAAUCAUGAUAUAAACCAACCUGAAAUUCAUUCAACUCUGCAUCACUGAGAGCCCCAUCUCUAUCAUGGUCACAGAGAAUGAAUAUCCGUUUCAAAGCCCUCACACAUCGAGGCUUCAAUGAUUGCGUCUCUUGAUCAAAAAGUGGGGCAGUAGGAUGAAGCACUGCCUUCUCAGCAUAAUAGAAAACCUCAGGAACCUGCAGAAAGACAGUGUCGGCAUUCUAGUAACCUCGAUCCACAGGCAUAACUUACAGAAUAAAAAAGAAAUGGGACCAAACAUAACAAAUAAAAUCAUUCACCAAUUAAAGUAUGAUACCUCAACAGAACCACAAACAAAGAUAUCGUUUGAUCAAAAACUGAGCAAGCAUGCUGAAACGAAUUGCUUGAUACUGAGCAAGAAAAGAAUUGCGAACACUAAAGAUAGCAGAUUGUCAAAACAGCAUAAACGAGCAUGUUUUGCUUAAGCGGGGCCUGGCUACACAUAAAGAUUAAUUCUCGACAACGUAUAAAUCACAGAACAUAGCAUUCCUGCCUAUAAUACCACGUCCCUGAUUACAGUUCAUGGGACAGACACGCCAAAUAAACAAAUAGGGACGAUAAAGAAGGGUGGUGCACCUGAAUCUGCCUGAGGGCGGAGCAUUCGAUGCAAGUCUCGAUCUCCCGAAACUGCUGCAUGAUCGGCGACAUGACCUGCUCCAGGCUCAUCUGCUGCUCGUCCCGCAGAUCCAGCUUGCAGCCAACGACGAUCACGGGCACCUUAAUCUGCCCAUCCAAAUCAAGAACAGGAAAUCUAUAAUCUAGCAAGGUUCUUCCGAGAAGAAAACCAGAAACGAGGCUACCCGAUGCACAAGGAAGGCCAACAACCUCAAGGCGGCGGAGCUCCGGGAGCCAGUAGGUGCUGAGGCGGUCAAGAGUGGAGGGUCGGUCACAGGCGUAGGUGAGCACAAUGGCGUCGGCCAUCUGGCACUCGCUGAUCAACUUGGUCUUGUUCUCCGGGCUGCGAGAUCGAGUUUCCGAAAUCAAGAAGCCAAAUUCAGGUCAAGAAACGAGAGGUAAGGGGAUCGAGAAAGCGACCUGGAGGAGGUGUCGAUGAUGGUGACUGGGACGCGAUCGGGGUAGUAGUCGGCCGGGAGGCGGGUUGGGGGCAUGACGUGGGGGACGUUCUCGGGGAAGGUCUCGGUGGCUACGGAGACGAUGAGGCUGGACUUACCCGUGCCGGGGUCGCCGAUGACGACGACGCGGACGCUGGUGCGACCGCCGACGCUCGCGGGGUUGCUCGCCAUGGGAGGAGGGGCACAAGGGGGCGGCGAUCGCCGGCGCCGCGGUAGAAGUGGAGGAGAGGAGGGUUUAAAGAGAGCGGGGCUCGGCCACCAGGGGGUGAGGCGGCGGUGGAUGCCCUAAUUCGUGUGCUUGGGUAAGAAGGAAGGAGGCGAGGCAGGCAGGGGGAGGAAGAAACGACAGAGGUUGGGGGGGAGGGGGGGGAGGGCUCUGAGGACCCGACGUUCGCACGUGCGAAUUAUAAGGUCCAAAGCCGGGAACUUCUAGAAUGUGUUUGAAUUAUUCAUGAGUACUAUAGUUUCCGGUUUGCCCUGUAACUCUCUUUUGUGACAUGGUAGGGGAGAGCGGCGUGUUCAGUAAUUUUGCUGCUUGGAGUUGGAGGAGCCUUAUUCUUAUAUAUUGAUUGAUUGAUAUUGUUCAUGCAUUUUGCCGUAUUUGAGAACAUGUGGUUAAAAAGCAAUAAUCUAAAUUAUUGAAUAUAGUUAUGAUAGGAGCCGUGUUAAAUAUGGUAGCAUUAAUUUUUAGAUAUAUUAUGUGAAGAUUUUGAAUAUUUUUAUGCUGUCCAAAAUAUUUUAUAGUAUUCUUCUAUUUAUUAUUCUGAUCUUCCCAAAGGCAUGCUUUGACUAUAGAUGAAUUUUAAAUUAGGCAUAUUAAACUAUGCUUUGAUGAAAAUCUUGUACGAAAGUAUUGAUUCGUUUUAUGUCUAGAUUUAAUUUAUAAUGAUGACUUUUUCUUUUUUGGCAUAAGAUAAUGAUGACUUUUUGCUAAUCUUGUUAUUAUUGUUGAUGAUGGGAGGACAAAGAAGCGAAAGGAUUCUUAAAAAUUUUUAAAUCACAGGUAAAAAAGUUAAAAAUAAAAAUAUAUAUAUAUAACAAUCAAAGAUCAGUUUGAUAAUCUUAUUUAGGUACCCACAUAUUUUUUUCUGACACCCUCAACAACUAAGAACUAGUUUGGUUGAUGGAAAGUAGAAGAGAGAAGAGGUAGUUCCUGAGAAAUGAAAAAAGAGUCUCUUAUUUGAUUAAAAUUUUAAGAGGAGAGAGAGAGAGAAAAAAGCUCUGGAAAGUCAUUUUCCCCAUUUCAUGAAAAGUCAUUUUUCCCAUGGGGUAGGUGGGUUUUGCACUUCCCAUGGGAUGAAAAGUGGUGGUAUUUUUUUUUCGAAAUAUUAUUUUAAGAUGUACGGCUAAGAUUUUACAAAAUAUCAAUGGAUAGUUAUGAUGAAAUACUGAAUAGUAAUAUAAUAUUAUCUUAAUAUUUAUAUAAUAUAAUAUAAAUAUAAAUAUUAAAAUUAUAAUAUUUAUUAUAUUUUAAUAUUAUUUUAAUAUUUAUCCUAACAUAAUAUUUUUAUUAAUAUUAAUAUAAUACUUAUAUUAAUAUAUUAAUAUUUAUAUUAAUAAAUGUUAUAUUUAAUAUUUAUAUUAAUAAAUGUUAUAUUUAAUAUUUAUAUUAAUAAAUUUAUUAUAUUAAAAAUAUUAAUAUAAUGUUAAUAUAUAUUAGUAUUAUGUUAACAUAAUAAAUUAAUAUAGUUUAAUGUUAUAUUAUAACAUAUUAAUAUUAUAUUUUAUAUUAAUAUAAAUAUAAUAUUUAUAUUUAUAUAAAAUUUAAGAGUAAAAAGGUAUGUAAUCUUAUACCUACUAAGGGUAUCAUAGGUAUUUAUUCAGUUUUUUUAGAAAAAUGGAUGCUCAACCAAACGUAAGCUAUUUUAUAAUUAUCACUUUCUCAUGAUCAACCAAAUAUGCCAAAAUUCUAUUCUCGGGAAGUAAUUUUUCAGAAAGUUAGCUCAUCAGAAGUUACUUUUUGAGAAGAAAAGUUCUUCUCGUGAACCAAACGAGUCCUAAAGAUACAAACGAGCCCGUAUUACAAUAUGUCCUGAUCCACAUAAGUGUUCACACAAGCUAUAUACAAAAUCCACUGAUCUUAUAAAAAAUAUUAAAUAUUAUUUAGAUUUUUUGGUCAAAUACCCAAGAUUUUUUAAGCACACAAGCAAGAUAAAAACCCACAAAUUAUAGAUGAUCUACGUAUAUGCCAAAUAUUAGGUACGAAGUGAAAAUAAUUCCUACUUCCAUCUCCGUGAGAAGUUAAUAUUUUUCCAAAACUCUUAAUAUUUUAUCAAACGGGGUUCUCUAAAUUGAGGGAAGGAAAAGAUUAUCAUCUUUCCAUUUUAUUUUAUUAAAAGAAUCUCACUUUCUCAAAUCAGUAAAAUAUAAUUUCAGAUAAGUAGAUCUUUUACAAAUUUUACAAAAAAUGCAAAGGGGAGCAUAAAGACAAACAAAGAACUAGGAUUAAACAAAUGAUGGUAAGAAUUCUAAUGCUUUUCUUGGUUACAAUGUAACAACUCAACCUAUAAGUAGAAAUACCCAUAUAUGUAUAUGUGAAUGUAGCCUUUGGAAAUGAAUGACUCCAUUAAAUAUUCUAAGUGCUAAAAACUGAUGUGUUUUAGAGACCAGUUUGUAAUACUCUCUUUACCGGACUUACGGAUUUUAAUGAUGCUUUGGUAAUAUUCAAAUUUAUGAAAUCUAAGAUGUAAGAAAUGACCUAGCACUUUCAAAUGUAAAUUGUUUCACCCGGCGAUCAAAACAUGUAGUUCCCAUUGGAACCAAUAAAUCAACUUUUAAUUGUUAAGAUUUUUUUUCUUUUUAAUAAUCAUCUUUAUGCAAUCUACGUAGGGGUACUUUCUUACUUUGAUGUACUGUGUCCAGUUAAUAUCCUCCCUAUUGAGUCAACAGCAAGAUUAACCACCCAAUCCAAUAAAAGCCCGCCCUCCACAAGUAUAUGAGCCAUCUAACGUGCCCACUAACCCCCACAACUAGCUUAUAAACCUUGCCUAUAAAUAGAGGCAGGGGGUGACCAGCCAAGGAAAAGCAAGGAGUGGAAAGAGAGGAAGAGGGAGGAGAUGAGUAUGGGCAUAAGGCUUAAGAUUUUUAUUAGCAUUUUAAGUAACUCUUUCCAUGCCUUUGAAUAGGACGACAUUUAUCAAUAAUGCCAUUUAAUCCAAAAAAAAAGUAAUGCCAAAUUCCUCACAUAACAAAUUCCUUUGGAGCCAUUAUUUUUCAAUAAUGGAUUUUGCAUUACAAAAUUAUUUAUAUACUGAUUUUAAGAAAGGUUGGAUUUGCUUUUUCUCAUGAAACAAUACACAUUUAAACUUUAAAGAUAUUUAUAUAACCUCCAAGAAAAUUUUUUCUCCAUUUGUCUUACCAUAAGAAGUCACUACUUUGCGAAUGUCAUGCACAAAAGAUCAAUCGCUUUCAGGUAUUCGGCCAAUAUUCAACAUAAGUGAUGUAUGAGGUCAAUGGAAUGGAAUUGUAGAUCUAUCAUUACCUUCAAUUGAUGUACUUUCCUGUUUCCAAACUUUCCAUCUCCUCAAGAAAGAGUUUAUAUUUCACAGGAAAUAAUAUGUUUAAAUAGAGACUAAGUUAUGAGCAGCUUAGAGGCUUUUGUAUAAUAAUAUAGAAAUAUACUGCUGCAGAAGUUGCAAGGAAUCUAAUCUUAUAGGCCCACAUUUAGAAGGGAGCUCAUGAACAAUACCAUGUAUUUGUCAAAGUGCAGAUGGAGUAAGCAGGACUGGAGAUACAAGAUGAUCACAAUGAGUCAUCAAGUUAUUUCAUAUACCGUCAGUCAUGUCAAAGUGAUACAGCUGGAGUAUCAUUACGGGACAUGCACCUCCCUCAUAAGAAAACAACGUUACGUUCACACCUUGAAAAGGUAGCCACCAUAACAACUCAUACUUUAUACUAUCCAUUUCACCUAUGUUUUGUCAUUGGUAGAGCCAUUGUGAUCCCUACAGUAGAAGAUAUGGCUUUAUUUGUUUCUGAUUCCUGUUCUCUCAUCAGCUUCUUGGAAAAAAAAAGGCGAUCCUGAUGCGAGUUAUGAUGGUUUGUUUGGUCAAGGAUUAGAUGCAGAUAACUUAGCAUACAUAUCUGCAAUUUCCUUUGCAAAAUAAGCCUUUGCUUGAGGUCUCUUAACCUGGGAACCGAUAAAAAUUUAGAUUACAGUAAAUCUUCUCUCAACUAUAAUUCUUAGAUUAAAUAAAAUUAGGUUAAAGGGACUUACCUUGAAUGUUGGAGUAAGAAGACCAUUUUCCAAAGUGAAUGGUUCUAAUGUCAAAGUAACAGCUUUGGCAAAUUCAAAACCUCUCAGCUGUCACAGUUGGAGUACAAAAUGUCAAGACCACUAACACUCCAGAAAGGUAGACAUAUGUGAGCCAGGAGGUAUGGAGUUACCUGAGCCUGCUUUCCAACAUCAUCCAUCUCGGCAAGGACAGCAGCCUUUGCUCUUGAAUCAGCACAUAGUUCUCUAAGAUCUUCAUACUGCAAAGAAUAUAUAAAAUAGCUAUUUACGAUAUUCAUAGACACAGGAAAUAAAAAUGUGUAUUCCACAGCAGUCUAGGGCUCAUGCACACGAAUGUCAAAGUCAUUUACAGUUCAUAAAUCAAAAUCUAAGUUUAGCUGUUGACUCAGUAGAUACGACGAAUAAUGACCUUCUGGAAAGAAAUGGAUAAUCACUGGUCGUAUAGAUGAAUUGUUAAAUUAUAAAUAAAAAUUUGCAAUUGGCUUGCUGGUGUAUAUAUCAGCUAGGGUUCAAAUAUUAUGUGAAAAAACUAGAAUUAACUAAGAUCCAUAAUUGCAUGUGCAAGAAGUUCCUUUAUCAUCUAGGAAACCUUCCCAUCAUAUGUGACUGGCCAUGAAGCCACUACAAAAGAAUCGAGGAGAUUCAUGUCUGUUUACCAAAAAUGAUCUCAACCCUCUAAAAUUGGUACCAUGAAACCAAGAAGGCCAGUCAGCAGGUAAAAAUUUUUAAUACUUGAAAAGAAUCUUAGACUAGCGGAGGAAAACAAGGCCUCACAUAGGGAAUAAUGUUCAUCUUUAAUGUGCAAAUUAUUGGCAAAAAAGUCAAAUUGAAAAACAAUCCAAAACUCAAGGUAAAAAAGUUUGCCAACAGUUAGUAAUACCUAUGCAAUUAAGCAAUAACACUGUAUAUUAUGGAUGUUAUUGGAAUGACCAUUACUGGGUAUCAAUAUGCAUAAAUUAUGUUACAAAGAAACCAUAAAUGGAACCCUUAAUCUGCAGUCAUGAAUUGAUAGAUGUAUAAAGAAAAGGCAUCCAUACAAUGUGAUGAUUUUGUCAAACAAGUUGCUCAUAGGAAUGUUAUCAUGUAGAAAAUUAGAAAAUUGUCACUGUUUGUCCAAAACAUGGAGGGCAGCAUCCCUAGGCAUACUAUGAAAUUUUAUAGGUUUAAUACUUUGCCACAAAUGCUGUCAUUUACCCUUGAGGCUUGCAAUUAGGUUCAUUUCCAUUGUAUGCCUCCAUAUUUUUUUAUAUUUGUACAUCCACAAAUGCUGACUUUAAUUUUGUGUUUGAAAUUUUGAAUACUUAUAAGAAUCUGUGCUCCAUAUAAUUACCAUUGCUUCCAUGUCUUUCAGUUCCCUUGGAUUAAUGUUGUAGUUUCUACCUUUUCAUUAAAAAUGGUCAUGUUAUCUUCCACAGUGGUUGUAUCUGCAAGAACACAUUCAACAUGAAAUUCAUUUUAAACUUUACAACAUGGGAGAUUUGGAUUUUGACUCCAAAUCUUCUUUCUUCAAACAUUGAUCUGGCUAAUUUUCUAAACACUUUGAUUCCCAGCAAUAUUUUUAUUUUGUUUCAGAUUAAUCCUUCCUAAGAUUAAGUAGAAGCAUGCUCAAUCAAUGAGCAAAAAUGGCAAGCUUAGCACCUUAUAACUUCAAAGAAUCAAUUUUACGGCAUACCAAAAUUUAAUCUUAACAAAAAGCACCUAAAAUGUAGCUUUCAUACCAUUCAGUAGUCCAUCCAUGUGUUCUGAAUUGGGUUGAUAUUACAUAGGGACACGCUCACAUAUAGAAGCUCAAAUACCUUGUACGUGAAGACUUCAAAAUAAAAAUUGAUGAACAGUUUUUCUCUGUUGAUCAUUUAUAGAUCACCUCUUCUCCAGCUAAAGUCUCAUCAUCUCGUCAAUUAUUGAUGACUCACCAGGUCAUUUAUACAAAUAAUAUCCAAAUAACCAUGGAUUAUCUGUUAAUGGUUCAAUUGAUGACUUCUUCAAACAGGAAAUCCAUAAAGUAAGAUUCCUUGGUUUCAUUUUCCUUUACGAGUUAAAAGAAACUUAGAAGAAGAAGAGUUGGCCUUCAAUUAUCAUGGAUUGGUCAAAAUAGAUACAAAUGGAUGCAGCGAGCAGAACAUGUGUGUAAGUAGUGUAUGUUUGUGUGUGAGAGAGAGGACUGCCAUCUUGAUGUACUGUCUAGACUCUAGACAUAGCUCAAAUAUGUGAUUGAUGCAAUAAACCAAAAGGAACCAUGCUACUAAUAGAUGUUGAUUUGAACAAGCGCAAAAUAUCUUCCAUAUAAAAAAAUGGAAACAAAAAAAGAAUUAGAGUAAUAGCUAGUGUAGUAGUAUUCUCCCAUCUCUUCUUGAAUGCAAAAAAGAAGAAGAAGAAGUUGCACUGGUAUUUUAAGCAAUUCCUUAAUGGAAUCAUACUUUGGUGAAUGGAGCUAAAAUAACUAGAUAUUGAACCUCAUGUUCGGAAAUUUAAAACCAUAUACCAUAUCCGAGGGCUUGCUUGGCGUUGCUUUUGUUUUCAAAAACUGAACAAGAAAAAAGAACUGGACUGAACAAUAUGUACAAUGAAACCCUUUCGUUUUUUGAGUUGUUUGUAAAAUAUUUAGAGCAUUUGGUCGCUAAGAUUUAUUGCUUUCAAAAAAGAGUGAAAUAAAAGCAAGGAAUAGCCAAUGUUUUGUGCAAAUGCUAACUUUAACAUCAAUCUCCAUGUGGAAUUUCACUAAUUUGUAGAGAAACAAGCACUAAAAUAACAACAAUAUUAUACAGCCCUGAGUUUGAUCACUUUAGAAGAACAAUCUAGAAAUUUACUGAAGUUGGAUUAUUCAAUUUGCUCAAGCUUUCUUAGAACUCCUUGAAGAUAUCUAUGAUAUUCCAAGUUCAUGCUAUUGAAUGUGCCGUCCCAACUUUUGACAUGUGUAGCGAGUGAUUCAUGUUAUGGUUACAUUCGCAAGGUUUGAACAUCUGUGUUUGAAAAAUGACUAAUAUUUAAGUUUUUAACCAACUCCCACGUGAGUAAACGUGCCUUCUUUCAGAUAAAAUGAUUGAUUAAUUCUGUUCCUAACAUCAGUCCCAACUUUUUAAUGUUGGUAGUCAUAAAAAUUUCUGCAGCAACUCUAACCUCUAUCAAAAAUUUAAAAGAUAAACAGUUCAUAUGUUUUCAUGAAUCACACACCACCACUAAGAAAGUAGCUAAAGAGAAAGAUAACAAUGAAGGAUACAAUAGUAAUGCAAGACGGAAGGAUGUUGAUCACUGAGGACUUAUCGGUGAAUUUAGAAGGGGACAAAGAAGACAGGAAAUCUAUGCUGCUAGCAUGGUGACUGUAAAGUCAAGGCAUUUCAUCAAAAAAUGAAAAUCUGAAACCCUAGUUUGGGGACAUGAGACACUUUUUUUUGAUAACUUACAGAUAUGCCAUCAAAGACAGAGAGUACAUGUUUGGAUUAAAAAAAUUAAAUUAAAUGAGCUAAAUUUCCUGACUUUUAGGGCCUGUUUGGAAGCCUGAUGAUAUUUUCAGCCCGAUAAGAUCUUCUGGUGGGGGUUUUCAGUUGAAGUUGAUGAGGAAAGAGAAGUGAUAAAAAAGAUUUUGUUUGAUUAAGAGAGGCAGCCAGUAUAUGUUAUCCAUAAAACCUAGACUAAUUAGUUCUCAUGAAAACAUGAUUUAGUGUAACGCUGAAAACAAAACAGGAUAAGGGAACCCCACUCUCAAUCUCUCAAAACUCUCGACCAUUGGAGCUUUCCUUUCUCAAUCACUUGGGUGUAGGAAGAAGAUGAGAAUGAAUUAGCCGCUUGAAAAAUCCAAAGAGGCCCUUAAAGAAAGACUUGUUCACAGAACAUUUUAAUUGAUUAGAUCACAACCAUCACAAUAGUUAACAUUAGCCUUUAAAUCCCACUACUAUAAAAAAAUUGUUGCCAAUAAAAAAUUCUACUACCCAAUUCCUCUCAUGCUUAGGGGGUGUGCACUCUAUUUUCACUAAAGGAAAUUUUCAUUGAUGUGCCAAUGUUCAGAACACUAAAUAGGUUGAGAGUCCAUAGUCAUGAAGGAAAGGAUGAAUUCUAUUACAGUAAAUUUAAAGCAGGAGAAAGAAGAUCCACCUUGAUUCCUUCAGAUGCGGCCCAAGCCUUCAAUACAUCUGGCUCAACUGAGACUAUUGCAACCAGACAAGAGUUUAAGCUGUCACCUUUAAAAAUAAACAACAAUUAAUGUGCAUAUAUUGUGAAGCUAUAAAAAAGCUGACAAGAUUCAGAUGGUUACCAUAGACAAAACAUUGAGAAAUGAAGUUGCACUUAGCAUAAACAUUCUCGAUCUUCUCUGGGGCUAUGUACUCGCCCUGGGCCAACUUAAAAAUGUUCUUUUUCCUAUCAUAAUUUCAGAAGUGCAGAUGUAGAGUAUCAAGUAUCAACCAUAAAGUUUGCAUACAGCAUAGUAGCAAACUGAGUAAAGAUAAAGUAGAUAUCAUAUGCAUGAAUACAAGCACAAAAACGAACAAAUAUACACAGGCUCUGCAUGUAGAUAUAAACAAAAGCAUGCAGAUACAUACAAGGAUGUGUACAUAUUUAGCCAUGAAAUAAGAUAACAAAAGAGGAGUUUGAAAAGACGAGUGCUGAAUUUGUAUUUUUAUACAUUAGUACAGAAUUUAAUGUGGAAGCAUCAAUUUUAUAUGCCUAAAUACACCUAUAUAUACAUAAACAACUGCCUUCUGCCACAUAUCUAGUCCCUCACACUCCAUAUGGCAUUAAAACAAAAUGCAAAUAAUUUUUACCUGCUACUGGAAAUGGGUAAAGAAAACAAUGCUUAAGUCAUAUGCAGGAAAAAUAUGUUAAACAAAAUGUCAAAAUGGUAGAAAGGAAGCUUAACGUCAUUGUCCUUUUUUUUUUUAUUCCCAAAUUAACUUUUACAGUUUUCUUAGGUUGUUCAUGGUGACAAAAAUCCACUUAUAGCAGUGAUUUCAUACCCGACUUUAAGUGUUAUAUGAGUAGCACACUACCUUCUUAGUGCUUUAGCCUUUAAGUAAUUAGAAGUUCAGAAUAUUUCUGGACAAGUUUAUGUAAAAUUGGUGGAUUCCAUUUUUAAGAUAAUUAAAAGAUAAAUCUCUUAUUUAAUGGAGCCAGCUCAUAUGUAAACUCGAAUAUGGAUUUGUUAGCUAUUCUCCACCUUUUACUUCCUAUUUCUCUACUUUCUUUCUCUUCAUCUUUCUCCCAUUGUUUUCCUUCCAUAUUCUUUUCUGCUAAGUGCUAACUCUUUUCUGCUAACAGCAGAGAACCCCUCAUCUUUCUUUCUUCUUUAUCUAUUCUUCUUCCAGCCUUCUUUUCUACCAUUUCCCUAUCUCCUAACAUCUUUAAGAAUAAUAUUCAUCGCCUUUCAUUCUUCUUUCUUCACUCAGCUUCAACAGACAACCCUUUCUCCUGUUGCUAACUCCACAUGCACUGCACUGCAGAUGACCGCAAAUUGAUCUCAGCAGAUGCCACAGCAGUUGAAGCGAUCAGCAGAAGUCCAAUUAGAGAUUAGCUAAAGGAGAGACAGACCGGAAUAAUCUGUUGCAUAUAUUGAAGCAGUAAAAAAAUUCUAUGUUAGCUACCAGUAGAGUUUCUUUAUAAUCUUCACCGUGUCUUGAAUGAUUAUGGAAGGUAAACUUUGGUUUUAAAAAAUACCUAGUUUACUUUACAACUUGAAUGAAGAUUUCCUUUUUUUUUUUUUCUUGCUUAUGCAUAUCUAUGGUUUUGUUUGGAGAUAAAAAAUCAUAAGCUUUCACCACUGAGGUCCACAAGUUAGUGGCCUAAUCGACCCAGAUGAAAGCUUCUAUAGCGCCAAUAUCCUGACAAGUGGACGCUCCAAAACCAUUAUCAACCACUACAUGGAAAUAACAACUGUAAUUUGUCCAGUCAAACUUUUGAAUGGAUUUUCUGGGACAAAACAGGGCCUGCCAUAAUGGCUUUCCUUCCAGAAAAAGAAUGGGCAACCCAAUUCAACGUUAUAAUGGCCAUUAUCAGCUGUUAUAAAAUGAAAUAGCACGAUAAUAAGAAAAAUUAUGCCAUUAUUUGUGCAAGACACUAGUUAUUUUUAAAGUAUCUCUUGGAACUAUUUAGCAGUAUAUAUGCUUUUGAACGGUAAAAAUAUGACUAUUUUCAUCUGAUGAAUUAAGUUAAAUGACAGCCAUUUUUUUAUGCUGUAUAAUAACUGUUAUAACGGACAAUGGGUAAAUAACAGAAAUUAUUAAGCUCUCAAAAUUUAUAAGGGGACUGAAACCUACAUAAUGGCUGUUAUAACAGUAUUUUCCAGUGUUACUUUAAGCCAUGCCAUAAACUCAUCCCUGUAAAUCAGACAGUCAUCUCAAACAUGAAUGAAACUUGUUAGGAGGCAUGCAAACUACAAGGAAAUUAUAAAGGAAGCAGUUUGCAUCAGUUUCCUCCUUUUCCUUGUCUGGUGGUGGUUUUUCUUUUUCUUUUCUUUUUCCUAGUUUUAACUUUUUCUCUCUGACUGGCUAUCAAUCUAAUGUCCAGGGUCCAACGACUGCCUUUUGGGUUUGGGCUAGCAUUCAAAGAGGUACCUACACAGUUGAGACCAGAUAUCACAUUUUCAAUAUAAAUACAAUUCCUAAUAAUAGGAUCCAAAAAUGCAGUUAUUAUCAUAAGAAAGAUAUUGACAAACAAGAUGCUAAGAUUACCAAGUUGAGAUAAGUAGACGAAAUCAGCUACAGCUGAUGCAAACUUGGCAUUCAAAUUUAAACUCGAAUGGGGCCACCAUGUGUUGGUAUUAUAGUUCCAAAAAACGAGGUUAAAUUCUGUAGAUAAAGAAUCCUGGUCCCAAUCAAACAAAUUUUUUUUCUUUCAAAGAACAGAAAAAGUAUAAGAAUUGUUGCUUAUUUCAGAACAAUGAAGAAACAUUGGUUAUAGCAAAAUGCUGGACCAUAGGUGAUGCAUCCAAUACCAAAAGUAAUCAGCAACAAUCAUAUUGUUAGAAUCCCGCAAAUCUCAAGCAAAUCUGACUGAAUAAACCAAAAUCAUAUUGAUCUCAUAGAAUCAAGUCAAAAAAGAUAGAAUCAAGCCAAGACCUCGGCAAUCAAGGGUCAACUAUGAUCUCGGCAAACAAGAAAAUCUAUUAAGAAAAUUUGUCACGACCAGCAGUACUAUCUUUGAAUAUUCUCCUCUGAUUUCUCUCCUCUUAUUGUAUAUAUUCUAUAGUUGUUUACUAAUUUUGUACAGCCACACUUACCACUUUUGUAUAGUCAUACUUAUAAUUUUUUGUGACUCAUUGUAUUUAAAUAUUGAUCCAUACUUGGAGGAAAUAACAACAAGAUUAUAUUUUUCCUCAUAGAUUAUAAUUUUUCUCAUGAUAUCAGAGCUCUCGUCUUUGGGCCUUUUCUUCUUCGUUAGCCUUCAUUGCUGAGUUAUCGGUCUUCAUCACCAAUUAUUCCUGAUCACAUGGAAUGCUAUACCAUGCCGAACCGAUCGGUACACCCCGUACCGAGCCGGACCGAUGGGGAAUCGGCACAAUUCGAUCGGUUCAAAUGGUAUACCGAUGGAGGAAGGAAAAGAGAGGAAAAGUGAGAAAGAGAGAGAGAGGGAGGAGAGAGAGGGAGGCGGGAGCCGCUGGAGGCCGGGGGUGGCCCGUUGCGGCCACCGGAGGGCCGCGAAAGCAUCCGCAACUCGUCGAUUCGCCCGAUAGGACUUUGAAACGAGCGAGAAAGAGAGAGAGAAUGGGGGAGAUCAUCGGAGAUAGGAGUGGACGGCAUCGCGGUUGCAGAUGCGGGCUUCGUCGAGAUCGGAGGAGGGUGGCGGAAGCGGCGUGGACGGCGUCGCGGUCAUGGAACAGGGGCUGUUGCCCCUAUUCAUGCGAACCCUUUUUUAAAAAUGAAGAUCAAUAGUGAAGCCGGCAAACCAUUAGACGGCUUCACUGUUUAAAAGAUUUUCUAAAAAAAUUAAAAUCAAUGAAGCCGGCAAACCAUUUGCCGGCUUCACGUAAGUUUUGAUUUUAAAAAAAAAAUCGUGAAACAGGGACGUUGCCCCUGUUUCACUCCUACGGCACCGUGCGCAUGGACUGCGCCGUCCGACGGCCACGACAGCGAGUCGAAGGCCGUCCGACGGCGCCGCCCCCUCCUUCCCCUCCCUCCUUUUCUUUCUUCCUCCCUUUCUCUAUUUCUCUCUCUUUCUCUUUUUCUUCUCUCGAUUCGGGUUCGGUGCCUUCGUCGAUUCGCUGCCGGUUCGGCAUAGUACGGAAUCAUACCAAACUAUAUCGCCAGUCGAUUGAAACAGCCGUCGGUAUCGAGACGGCAAACCUUGCCUGGUCGUGCCUUUAUUGUCGAUUAGAUCUUCCUCGGUUACCUUUACGGCUCUAUCUUUACCAUUCAUGUCUGGUUGUUUCUUCUCUUGAUCUUUUUGUUUCUUUGUUCUUCUACAAAUGUCGGAAACCUCUGAAACCGUGGCCAAUAAUUUUACUGGACCAACUUUUGGAUCUUUACCGAAUGGACCAAAUGGAGAGCUCUAAAACAUGAAUCCUUCCUAUCGACUUGAUGGGAAGAAUUAUCUCCAAUGAUCGCAGAUUAUUAAGAUAUUCCUUAAGAGGAGAGAAAAACUUCAUCAUUUGAACGAGGCUAGACCUAGUGCUGAUGAUCCAAAGUUUCCUACGUGGGAUGAGAAAAACUCAAUGAUCAUGUCCUGGCUAUGGAAUUCAAUGCAACCCAAUAUCAGUAAGAACUGUAUGUUUCUUUCUACUGCUAGAGAUAUAUGAAAAAUGGUUCGUCAAACAUACUCCAAGAUGUAGGAUGCCACUAUAAUCUAUGAGAUCAAGACGAAGAUUUCAAUCACCAAGCAAAGCACUCUUUCGAUUACGGAAUAUUAUAACCUGAUGAAUGGUUUUUAGCUUGAAUUAGACCAUUAUCAAGAUAUUAAGAUGCUAUGCAGUGAGGAUACCAAAGCCCUUUUGAGUUUGGUGAAAUGGGAUUUGAUUUUUGAAUUUCUUGGAGGACUUAAUGCAGAGUUUGAUCAAGUUAGGAUUCAGAUUCUUGGAAAAAAAUGGCUGCCGUUACUGAAUGAAGUAUUCUUCAUCAUAUAUGCUGAGGAAAGUCGGUGGACUGUCAUGCUGGAAUCACAGAUUUCCAAAAGCUCAGCUAUGGUCUCUGUGAAGGUUGCAGAUGAAAGAAGUUUAAUAACUUUAGGAAAGGGUAAGGUGACAGAACCACUGAUAAUCAUUCCUCUAAACAGUCCAAUCGAGAUGGGCUCUGGUAUACCUAUUGUAAAAAGCCCCAGCAUACAAAAGAAAUCUGUUUUAAGCUUCAUGGAAAAGCACAAGUCCCUAGUCGAAAUGGAGGAUUUAAAGGAUGGUAGAGAAGUCAGGCCAACUUCACAAACAAGGAAGAUACCUCUCAAGAAAAAUCAAUCCCUGAUGGUGAUGAAUUCAGAGAAUUCAACAAGAGAUUGAAAAACUAUGAGAUUUUCUUAAAUCCCUCUCUAAUUCAUCUAGCUCAUGUUCAUUGGCUCAAUCUGGUAAGUGCCUUGUUUUUAAAACCUUUAAUGCUGACAACUCCACCCACUUUAACUCUUGGGUCAUAAACUCUGGAGCCACCGAUCAUAUGACACAUAACUCCACUAAAUUUGAAACUUAUAAACCAUGUCCAGGGAAUAAAAAAACUACUGUUGCUGAUGGUUCUCCUAUAACCAUUGCGGAUCAGGACACCAUAAAUUUGACUCCUUCGCUCUAUAAAAUAUGCUACAUAUUUCUAAACUAUCCACCAAUCUUGUUUUCAUUCAUCAACUUGCUAAAGACUUAAAUUGUCAGACAAUCCUUUUUCCCACUCAUUGUGUCUUUCAGGAUCAGGUUACAGGGAGGAUGAUUGGAUUUGCUAAAGAAUGGAAUAGGCUCUACUAUCUUGAAGAAGUCAGUAGUUCUAUGGAUAAAGGUACUCGAUUAACCCUCUCCUACUCUUCGUGAAGUACUUCUUCAAUUAAUUCUGGCUCCUCAAAGAAAUCUAAAAUUUGGCUUCACUAUUUUCAUCUCGGCCAUCCACCUUUUCAGCUACUCAAAAUCAUGUUUUCUUUGCUUUUCAAAAAUAUUGCUGUGGAAAGUUUUCAUUGUGACACUUGUGAAAUUGUUAAACACCAUCGUGUGUCAUUUCUUUUGAGUAAUACAAAGUCCUUUCAACCUUUUUUCUUAGUGCAUACUAACGUUUGGGGCCCAUCUAAAAUUCCUAACUUCACCAGGGAUAAGUGGUUUAUGUCUUUUAUCAAUGACUGCACUAGAACUACAUGGCUAUAUUUAAUAAAGAAGUCUGAAGUAAGCAAUAUCUUUCCCAUUUUUUACAACAUGAUAAAAACUCAGUUUGGAAUUUUUGUAAAAUGAGUUAGAUCUAAUAAUGCAAGGGAUUAUUUUAAUCACAUUUUUUACUUUCUUUAAGAAAGAAAAAAUUAUCCAUGAGUCUUCUUGUGUUGACACACCCCAACAAAAUGGGAUAACUGAGCGAAAAAAUAAACACUUACUCAAUGUUACCCAAACACUUCUGUUUCAAUCCAAUGUUCCAAAAAGAUUUUAGGGAGAGGCAGUCCAAACAGCAGCUUACUUGAUAGAUAGGAUACCCUCUAGCCUCCUAAGCAAUAAAGGUCCUAUUCAGGUAUUGUCAGAAUUUCAUCCUGAAUUUCAUUUUUUCAAUAACCUACCACUUAGAGCAAGGUUUGCCAUACUGUGCCGAACCGGCCGGUACACCCCGUAUCGUACCGAACCGACGAAGAACCGGCACGAUUUGAUCGGUAAAUUUGGUACACCGACGGUAUGGAAGGAAAAAAGAGAAAAGUGAGAAAGAGAGAGAAAGAGGAGGGAGGUAGGAGCCGCCAGAGGCCGACGGUGGCCGACUACGGUCGUCUGAGGGCUUCCGAGCUUCGUAUCGUCUGAUAGAGCUUUCAAGAGAGGGAGAAAGAGAGAGAGAGUGCUCGGGGAGAGAAACCUAUCGGACGGACGGUACCUUCAUCGUGAGGCCCUCGAUGGCCGAUGAGCCGACAUCGAUGGCCUGAGGGCGGUCGAGCGGGCGAAGCCCCUCCACGGCUCCAUCCCCUUCUUUUUUUCGAAACAGACGGUCGUCUGUUUCAGUUUUUCUUUUUUUUUUGGUUUUAAACUUAUGAAGUCGGCAACUGCCGACUUAAGAAAUUUUUUUAAAAAAAGACAAAAAUCGUGAAGCCGACAAACUAUUUGCCGACUUCACUUAAAACUAUAUUUUUUAAAGAAC
Molecule: long non-coding RNA, 69328 nt
Filed under: Elaeis guineensis (African oil palm)
Lineage: Eukaryota; Viridiplantae; Streptophyta; Magnoliopsida; Arecales; Arecaceae
Description: long non-coding RNA (EGUI_LNC022101)
Source: RNAcentral